AGUCCUUCCCUCCUGUGGCUGGUGGGGUUGUUCCCGGUGGAAGAAUAGGACCUACAAUUGGCAAAGGCGGCAAUGGCAGAUUGGGACCUACCACUGGAGGUAUGGGUAGCCCUGAAAUCGGAGGAAGGGGUAGCUUAGGGACGGUCACUGGAGGAACGGGUAGCUUAGGUACAGUUACCGGGGGAACGGGUAGCUUAGGGACUGUCACUGGAGGAACGGGUAGCUUGGGGACGGUCACUGGAGGAACGGGUAGCUUGGGGACGGUCACAGGAGGAACGGGUAGCUUAGGUACAGUCACUGGUGGAACGGGUAGCUUAGGGAUGGUCACAGGAGGAACGGGUAGCUUAGGGACGGUCACCGGAGGGACUGGUAGCUUAGGGACGGUCACCGGAGGAACUGGUAGCUUAGGGACGGUCACCGGAGGAACUGGUAGCUUAGGGGCUUUAGGGGAGUGCUUUCCGCCCUUCCGUGGGUUGCAAGAGCCGCAUGCGAGAGAAUGUUGGGGGAGAUAGAUAAUGCAAAUGAGGAAGAGGCAAAGAGAGAGAGAUGAGAGUUUGGAGGAGUCCAUGUUGAGUAGAGUGGAUGGUGUAACUAUACGAAAGAGUAUAUGAAUAUAUAGAGGGAAAAUGAGAAGAAGAAUUCACGUGAAGAUGGGGGCUACUUCUGCAAUAAGAAGAGACGCCCCAAAAUAAGCAUGGUUGGCAAUUAUCAUAAGAAUACAAGAUUUCCUUGAUGACCCAUCGCUAUAUAUCAUCACAUGUCGACCACACUUUUUUCACUUUUUUUUUUCUAAGUGCCUCUUGUUCUUGGGUUAACUACAACUUUUAACAACGUGUAACUUCAGUUUCAACAGUACAGUACAUUUAACUUGUAGGAAUUGUAAUGAAUCAACUUAGCGAGACUAGGUCAUUAUGAGAUAUCAUCAAUACUAAAUAACAUUUUGAUGAUGUAAACACUCUAGGAAAAGCAGAUAAUAUAGUAUCAUAUGGUUUUCGCUUUAGUGUGUGGCUUCAUAAGCAUCUCCAUGCAUGAGUCGACUGCUAAGGAACAUAUAGAUCUGCACCAUAGUGAAGACGGCUUAGUCUAUUCAAAACACUAAUGUUGUGCCUUUCGAGGACCUCCCGAGACUCGAAUUCGAAUGCACUCUCCAAAGGUAUUAUGUUAGGGAAAAAACCUUAUUAAACCAAAUAUGUUACUGUUUAACCCAUACACGAAAAUUAGAUAUAUAAAUGUUGAACAAAUAGCAUAUAGUUAUAUCCAAUAUAUACGUACAUGAGAGGUAAAGAAGACAGCAAGACUGACAUGUGAAAUUCGGGAUACACUUUUGUUGUUUGGUGAUUUUGUUACGUAGUGUCAUUAAAGAAACGAUCAUGUGUGCGUGGACCAUCUUCUUCUUUUUACCGCUCAUUUCCCUUUUUACCAUAUCUACUACAAAAGAGUCCGAACUGACCAUUUAAUGAACGAGUACCAUUCAAUUCAUAAACUCCCCGUAUCAAUCUAACUGACACUGUAAAAGUUAUAAUGUUAAUAUAUAAAAAUAAUAUGGUUAUUUAGCAUGAAUAAUAACUUUUUAUAAUUGAGAGUAUGUCUAGCUAACAUUGGUGAUUGGUGCUUACAUAAAUCAUAUUUUUCAAACCACUUAACAAGAACUUUACAUAUUCAAUGAUAAACGAAUCACAUUUAUACAAUAUACCAUUCAAAAAUAAUAUUGUAAGAUGAUUUGAAAUUAAACGAUUGUAAUAUAUAAUGUGUUAAAAGUAAUGUAUUAUAGAUAUCUUGUAAUUAUUUAAAGGGUUUUGUGCAAAAAAAAAAACCACUAACUCAUACAUUUUUCCAAUUUACUAUCCAGCUCUAAUAAAUGCACAUUAAUCCUAUGAAUCUAAAAUAAUACGCAUUGUAACCCUUUUUGACCAUUUUUUGCUACCAUCAAUUUUGUAAAAUAUUGAUAUAUAAUAUGUUAAAUCAAAGCUCUCGCGACCAAGAGUUCAACUCUACCUUUAAAAAUUUUAAAAUGUAAUGUAUGUAACCGUAAAAACGCUUGUAAUAUGCAUAUGAAAUUUAUAUUACAUAUUAUGUUAAACUUCAUAAGAUUAAUCUGCAUUUGUUGGUAGUGCAUUUGUUAGAGGUGGAAGGUAAUGUUGCAAAAAUAGAUGAGUUAAAAGAUUUCUUUUUGCACAAAACCCUUUAUUUAAACUACUAACAAUAUAAUAUAUAAAUAAUUUAAAACAUAUAUCUCUAUAAUUCAUGAAGUAAUAAUGGUGUACCCUAUCCUUACCAACGAAUAAUAAAGAAAUGAUAUUAACUCUGAUUCAAAAGCUAUAUAUAAGAUAUUCUUUUUUUUUCCUCGGGAGGGAUACGAAUCCGGUAACAUGAAUCAGUGUCCAAUAAGAGCCAGUGGUCGUAAAUUCCAAAUGACAGAUGGAUGACUCAUUUUAAUUCGUAACUUUUGUCAGCUGCGAUAUAUGCUAAUGAAACCUGAGGUGCUAGAUUUUGAUUUUAAUGGCUUUAGAUUCUUACUCAACACUCAAUGGCCCACUCGUUAAUCUCUUACCUUCUAAAGUGAGUUAUGAUCCACUGCUUCUUUCUUCUUGUAGAUAGAUGGACCUGUUUUUUUUAGGUUGUGAUUUGUGGACAUUAAUCAACAACCCAUGUUUAUACGUGAUAAUGUCUGGAGCUAUAUGUAAAGGCGAUAUGGAGGACAACAUUCCUCUAUUCUAACUUUAAAAGCCAUGUAGUUAGGGCUGGACACCAAUAUUCUUUUUUUUUUUGCUAAAUUGUAAAUAUCAUUUUGAUGAAAAAUCAGGUUUUACAACAGUUGUAUAACCUAAAACAUUUGAACUCUUUGGCAAAAAAGAAUAAAAAAACGAAGAGCCAAUCGAGAGCUGCAUAGAACUCGGUAGUUUCAUAGCAGCCACAACGCUAUUAACUUGCGAAAAAGGAGUCUGUUUCUUCUUGAGGUGAUAACGUUUUUGAUUUUGCGGUUGAUGCACUUGAAUAUAGAAUGCGGAGAGAGGGAAGUAGCGUUGUGCAGGACAUUGUUAGGCUGCUUCAAGAUGUGGAAGACCUUAGACUGAACGACAAUAAUUUUAAGAACUGAUGAAGCCAAUAUUCAUCAUUUUCAAACAAAAAAUAUCUUUUGUUUGACACCAAUAUCCUUGACCAGCUUCAAACAAAGGAUAUACAUCAUUUUUAAGUCGGGUAAGGCAAAUGAGUAUAAGGAUUCUCAUUACACAUCUGGUUGCCAAAAACUUUUAGUCAAAUACUAGUUACAAUCUCAGUUUUUUACCCCAAACUUUUUGCCACUUAAAAAACUAGGGGUGGGCAUUCGGGUAAGCGGGUCGGGUUCGGGUUCGGGUAAAACCCGAUCAGGUAUAAAGAAGUUUAGGAUCUAAUAGGGUAAAUCUAAAAUAUCGGUUCGGUUUCGAUUCGGGUCCAACCGGGUUCGGAUAUAGAUUUGUGGCCUUUUUUUAUCCAGAUUUUUCGGGUAAAAUUUUGGAUUUCGGAUAAAAUUUAGAUUUUUGAAUAAAAUAUUUGGGUAUUUUCGGGUUCGAGUUUGUUUUUUCGGGUAGAGAAAUUUAGGAUCCAGUAAAGUACAUCUUCGGAUUUGGAUUAAGUUUCAGCUCUAAUUUUUCGAGUUAGUUUCGGUUCGGAUAAUCGGUUCUGGUUUUUUGGCCCGGCUCUAUAGAAAACCAUCAAUAAAUAUUUUAAUCCUAUUUCUGCCUCAUUACUCGAGAAAAUAUUCGACCCGUUUUAUUACUUGAUAAAUUUACAACUAUAUAUUUAUGUAAUCUAUUUCAUAUUAGUAAAAUAUAUUAAAUUUGUUAUUAAAACCAAAUAUCUUUUGAGAUUAGGGCAAUCAAAAGUUAAGGUCAAGCAAAUGUCUCCUUUCUAAAUGUUUUUGUGGGUAACGGUAAAGGACAAAUAUACAGCCCAUGCCCAGACCUACAAGUAGCGACUCCAUUACUACACAGUAAGAUUUUUAUUAAUAAAAAUGUGCAUGGUUUCAUUUAAAAGUCAUUGCUAACACUUCACUUUACAGUAAUAUUCAAUUUCAUACCUUUAAACGUUAAUCAGAAUCGCCAAUUGGAAGCCAGUCACUGGAAUCACCUUCCGAAUCCUUGCUAUGUCCAACUUGGCUCUUGCUGAGCUGAACCCAGCUUGACCCGCUUGCGUUUGAUGCUGGUCUUUUCAGUGUACUCCUGUUGGGACUUGGCUUCUCCGAGAGAUCAUCGACAUCUAAAUCACUAAAGGAGAUUACCUCUUCAUCUCUGAAACUCCUCCGUUGUUCUUCAGAUGACUCAUCACUUAUCUCCCUUUGCUCAAUUUUUAGAGUCUCUAUCUUGUCAAUGACUCCCUCAACGGUUUCUGUUUCCCUACUGCUACCUUCUUCAGGAGUUUCGUGACCAGUAGUGCUCUUGCUUGACCCUGUCUCUUUCUUUUGCAGCUUUAGUAAAAGUUGAUCCCUUGUUUCAAAUACCUGUGCCGCACAAUAUAGUUAUUAAAGUUUCAGAAAUAGGUACAAUAGUAACUUGGGAAAAAAUGCAGAGCAUAAAAGAUAUAAAACAAUCCAAUUUUAAAAGCAUCAGGCAAAAAUACAUUUUUUCCUGAGGCUAUACUUGUUCUUAUUGCAAUCGGUUGAAGGGGUCAUUAUAGCAUAAACGUUUACGAUUUUAAUAAUAUUGGAUCAAUACUGACAUUUCAGAAGAAUGUAUUUCCAGUAUACAGUCUUACCUUGCAUGUUGCUAAGAGUUCAAAAUCAUGCCCAUUCAGUCUCGGCAUCAGCAAAAUAAAAUAAAUCAGCCAGAAGUGUUCAUCAUCCAUGUAACUACUAACUUGAUUCUUCACAGCUACAAGGCCAGGAACCAAAUCUUCAAUGGCUGAUGCAUGUGCCCUUUGAGCCUCAGACAGUUCAAAUUCUGCAAUGUGGACAUGAAAAGUUGGAGAAAAACUUCAGCAUAAUUCAGUAGGUAAAAUUGAUGUAAACCACCAAUGCUUUUUAUCAGGAAGUGUUUCGACAACAUUUUCAAGCAAACCAAGCCUAUAUACAAAAGGUUGUACAGGAUGACGAUAUGCUUCGCAAUAAAAUAAAUAAAAAGAUUUAAGUGGCAUAUGGAUUGAACUAUAUAUAUAUAUAUAUAUAUAUAUAUAUAUCCCAAGAAGAGACUGCAGACCCCGUCAAGUUUAUUCGUAAUUCCUGGAGAUCUAUCUAAAGAACAGGGACUUCAAAAAAAAAAAUUAACUGCAGAAACAAUCAAUCUUGUCCAAACAGGUCUAGAAUAAAACACAUCAAGAGUUAAAGACUGAAGCAUAAUCAUCUUUGGCGACUGAAAACAAGUCAACUAUAUUUCCAAGAACAAUCAUGUUUAUUCCUGCAUGGCUGCAAGUUCGUCGACAAUAUCUUCAAGGUAUGAAAAAUGUGAUCUACAGAGAGUAAUGGGACCCCGAGAUCCUAAAGACCUGAGCUUGAAGAAAUAUAUCCCAAGAGGAGAUGGCAGGACCGGUCUAACCUAAUCUAAAAUACUAGGAAAUCUCUCUAAAGAACACCAGAGGCUACAAGCAAUCAACUGUACAAACAAAAAAAAUAUUUUCCUAAUAAAUCACAGUAAGAAAAUCAUAACUAAACAUAGAUAGUUAGAAACCACCAAUGCGGUGCUUCGACUAUACUUUCAAACUAACAAAGCCUAUAUACUGGGAACAAAAAUAUGCUUGAAGAAAUAUGUCCAAAUAAGCUUAAUCUGUAACCCUAGUGAUCCCACUAGAAAGCCAAUCAACUGUAGAAGCAAUCAAUCUUUUCCAAAUAAAACCUAUUUUAGUAACAAUUAUGUUUGCCUACUGGGAAAAAAAAAAGUCAAUGCAGAGCUUAAGACUAUUGAGAAUCAAGCUUUAUGAUUCCUCUAUUGACUAUACAGGAGCAUUACCAGUAUCGAGUGACAAUGGAAAAUCUGUCCAACAACCAGGUUUCGUCGAGAUUUUAACAGCGAAAUCGACUACUUCUUCAGAGAUUCCAGGAACUUGAUCGUUCAACGGAGAUCUUCUACUACUUUCUCUAUCUCUUAGAUUACUAGGAAAUUGGAGUAAAUUAGAUGCGAAAUUGGAGAAAUUUCCACGAAUCUCGGCUAGAUCGUUGCGGAUCCCGAGAAGACCUAGCUGAGUUGGUGAAUUAUCAGAGGAGAGUCGGCGUUCGUUUACAGGUGGAGAAGGAGGCGGUGCCAGGAAAGCUGCGACGCCACGGAGUAAGGAAGAUAAAUCUUCUUUGACACCGCCAUGAGUUGUGGAAGGAUCGGGAUCGGGAUCGUGAUCGUCAUCGCCGCGAGAUUUGAAGAGCCAAGACAUGGUUUUUGAGUGAGAGAGGUUGGAUUUGGGGUUUUCAGUUUUUUUUGCACGGGGUUACGAAUAGCAAGAGAGAAGAAACGGUACGUUUUAAUACCUUUCCAAAACGCACCGUUUGUUGUUUGUUCGUUUUGAUACCUUCCCAAACGUGAAAUAAACGAACAAUAAUUAUACAAAAUAAACGGAAACAAAACCUACUUUUUAAAACGGGAAAAUAUCGUUUUAUACGUGAUGUUUUUAAGAAUGGUCAUUUUAUAUGUAAACUUUUAGAUCGAUCAAAUAAAAUAUGAUAAAAAUGUUGAUCCGCUAUUUAAACAAAACAUAAAGUUUGCCUGGCCAAAAUUUCCGAAAUGUUAACUUGUAUUAACGGAUCUGAUAACCCUCGUUAGCAGACGUUAGUCGUCUUCCGUUAAUACCAAACGAUUUUUUGUGAUGAGUACAAACCUUAAAAUUCCCAAAUCGAUUUUUCAUUCCCUAAUUCUUCAUAAUCCCCAAAAUUUGAACUAUUCUCGAUAUAUUUUUUUUGAGCUCAAAAUCUCCAUUUUGUGUAGAUAUGAGUUUAAAAAAUUUGAGUGUUCAAGAAGGAGGAAGUGGGAACCUUGGGUUUCCUUCAAAGUGUCAUUGGGGGAGAGAUUUCAUCAUCUAUAUAUCAAGCUCGACGAAGAACCCAAGAAGAUCCUUCUUCUGUUGUCCAACAUAUCAAGAUGUAAGUAGAUUUGAAUUUGUUUUUUUUGGUGUUUGAUCGGUAAAAAGUUGUCGUUGUAAAUGCAGGACCAUUUGUUUAAGUGAGUCGAAGAUUGUGUGUAUGAAGAGGUUGUAGAUGCAAUACUGAUAAUCUCUAUGAUUGAUAGCUAGAUAAACAAUGUCAAAUUUCAGGUUGUAGUCGAGAUUGCAGAAUUAAAGGUUUUGAUCCAAGAAUUGAAGGAAGAUGAAAUGUGGAGCAAAAUGGAAUUGAAGAUAUGGAAAUCGAUGACCAAAUUGUGCUUGGUGUGCCUUUGUAUAACAGUCAUUGCAAUUAUGAUCAUAAUGUUCUAUAAGACCAAAAACCAUAAGCUUGUUCUUGGUUACUAGUGUUUUGUGUUUGUAAUAAAAUGUUUUUAUGGUACUGAAAUGUUUGUUUGGCAAUGAUAAUCAGUCCUAGUGUUUUGUCUUAGUGUUGUGAUUGUAAUGAAAUGCUACUAGAUGCUUGUUUAACAAUGAGAAUCACCAAAAUGAAACUCAUUCAUACAUUAUAAAACUUGUGUCACAAAGACAAGUCGAAACCACAAAAUGAAAUCGAUACUAAGCUUAUGUCAUAAAGACAAAUCCAUUAUGUCAACCACCAAAAAUAAACUUAUGAGAAAGCUUAAGUUCAAACAACAACAAAAAGAAACUUGUGACUAAUCUUGUCUUGAACACUCAAACCAUGAUGCAAAUCCACCAAGUCCUUGUGGUUGAGCAUGUGGCUCAGUUUGUGCUUGUGCUUGUGGUUCUGUUUGGGAUUGUACUUGUGAUGCUCCACCUGUCUCCCUUGGUCUUUCUGAUGUUCCGCCUGUUGCCCUUGGUCCUUGUGAUCGAAUAUGAGAUUGUGAUCCUUGAUGAGGUUGUGAUCCGUGUAUUUGCUCUUGCGAUUCGAGCACUUGAGAUCGUGAUCCUUAAUGAGAUUGUGAACUUUGAUGAGGUUGUGAUCUUAGCACUUGUGAUUCCUCCUAAGUUAAAUAUGACAGUCUGAACAGUUGCAUGAUUAAGUGAGUUGUAAAACAUAUAAAAAAAAACAAGAAUACAAACCUGAUUUAUUCGUGGAUGACCUCUUGGUCUCUUUGGUGGAAUCAGAAUAGUGGCAUUUUUGCAGCUUUGCUUGUUUGCCCUUGUUGAAGGCAGUUAGAGCAUGUCAUGAUUCUCUUUUGCAGUGGCAUCUUGUUCUUAUUUGAAGAAGAAGAAGUCUCAUUUCUUCCUUUUCUCCUAACAUAAUUACUCGGUCUUCCAACAUUUCCUUUUGUCCAUGGUGGUGGCAAAACAGGGAGCCUAUUGGUUUUAGGCCACAAUGGCAUACCUUGGACAAGGCUAAUACCAUCUUUAUAAGUUUUUCGCCAGAUUACCUUUGUGUAAAACUUGCUCACAUAGUCUGCAACUGUUUCUCUUCUUCCUAUUAUCACAGGUGUCGCAUAAAUACAUGGGAUCCCCACCAUCUACCACUUCCUGCGACCACAAGUUCUCUUCUCCGUAUCAACAUAGUAGCUAACACCAUUCACAUCAAUUUGAUACAAAUUGUUUCUGGACAUAUAUCUCUCGCAAUUUCUAACCCCAACUAUCAUUUUCUCAAUCUCAAGAUGGGCUCUCUUUGUGAACCUUGUCUUCAAUUUGUCAGCAAUGAUAUACGUCUUCGUAGUUAUGACCAUGCAUUACCUCUGGAUGUACUCUAGCUAAUCCAACAAAGGCUUUCUCCUAGCCUGUUUAAUAGUCUUAUUAAAAGACUCACACUGAUUAUUGAGGCUGUCAUUGCAACGUGUCCAAUUCUAAAGAAGGCUCUCGACCAUGUCAUUGGACUAGUAAGUUGCGAGUGGCAUGCGCAUGAGGAUUGUAUCUCUUUAGCUCUUCCAUAUUAUUCAUGAACACUUCUUCAGUGUAGCUUCAAAUUGUUUUUCAAAGAGACAUUGUAGUUCUAUCUCAUGGUUGUCUCUCUUCCAAUUGUCCAUUAUAUGCCUUGAAUAUUGUCGAUGCUCAACUUCUGGAAGUAUGGUAUUGAUAGCUUUGACUAGACCCUGUAAAAUAACACAAAAACAUAAGCGUAAACCCUUCAUAAAAGACAUUAAACUGAAGCAAAAGAUGAUAAAAUUAACUGAUUAUUUAUCUGAAAUGAUAACUAGAUGUUGCAUUUCACAGUCCCAAACUAGUAGAGAGCUGUCUCAAAAACCAGUCCCAAUUAUCAUUGUUUUCUAUCUCAACAACUGCCCAAGCUAUAGGAACAAUCCUCUUAUCUCCAUCUCUUCCAACUACAGCUAAAAGGUGACCUUUUACAUCCCAUUUUAGAAAACCCAUCUAUUCCUAUCACAGGUCUACAAGUUCGCUUCCAAGAAUCCUUUUGAGAUUUAAAGCAGAUAUAGCACCAGAGAAAAGAAUCCUUUUGUGAUAUAAAGCAGCUAUAGCAUCAGAGAAACCUUUGCUUGCUUCCAAUAAAAAGCCCUACUGUUGUCUCUAUCUCAAACUCUGUCUCUGGGUUCUACUUUAAAACCUCCGCUUGAUAAUCUCAUAUUCUUGAAAAGUGAUCAUUAUGAGUAGCAUGUCAUGCUUUCAACACUUUGGUCUUGGCCUUUGCACAUUGGUCUGGAGUCACAUCCAAAUUGAAUUCUCUCUGAAUCUCAACAACCAUCUCGUUCUUUGAAAUAUUUGGAUUCACUCUCAGCCUUUCAUCAAACAAAAGUGCAAUGGAAGACCGCUUCAACAUCUUUGAAUAUCCUGACCUAACACAAGUAUGCAUAUAAAAUCUUACUUGCAUCUUAUGUUUUGUCUUCUCAUACGAACAAUAUACUUUCCAACCACAUUUAACACCAUCAACACCAAUUUAUGACCACUUCGCAGCAACAACCAUAGAUUCAGACCCAUAAAGAGAAAUGGUAUACCAUGUCUUUAAAGAGUACAUCAAAAGAACACGCUUGAAGUCGUGUUUAUAUCCUCUUCACCGCGUAAACCACCAUUAUAAUCGUUAUCUCCACCACCAACCACAUCAUCAACGACAUUGCAGUCUUCAUCACCAUACACGGCGCAGUCUUCUUCAUUUUUCAGGGUCAGGCUCAAAUGUAGGUUCUUCAUCCUCCUCUUUUUAAUGUCUGACUCUUCUUCGUUUUUGUUUUCAAAGCCGCUUUGAAACUCGAGCUUUAACUACGAUAGAAGACUCUACUACGCCUACAGCCGGCAGAGCUAGAACUCCGUUAUCAAACUCUAAAACUGCUUCCGCUGGUGGAGCUCGAACAACAUCUUUGGUGUCAUCUUCGCCUCGUGGUGGAGCUUCAUCAUUGUCUAAUUUGCCUUCCAUUGAUACAAUCUAGGACUCCAAGGAUACAAAUUCAAGAUGAAAUCAAAUCAAAAUCGCGAUUUCGCCAAAGUAAGAAUUAGGGAUUUGGUUUUUGGAAAUUAGGGAUUUUGAAAUCAAAAUGGGAAUUUCUGUUUCAGUUUAUGAAACGACAUUGUUUUAGGCAUUAACAGAAAAAAUUAACGUCUGCUUACAGGGGUUAUCGGAUCUGUUAAUGCAAGUUAACGUCUCGGGGAUUUUGGUCAGGUCAACUUUAUGUUUUGUGUUAAAUGGCGGGUCAACGUCUUUAUCAUGUUUUAUUUGGCCGACCUAAAAGUUCACGUAUAAAAUGGCCACUUUUGAAAGUUCACGUAUAAAACGACAUUUUUCCCUUUUCAAAAACCUAAUUUAUUUCGCAUAAUUAUUGUUCGUUUUGAAAAGUAGGUUUUGAUUUAAUAUUAAAUUUAUUCGGGGAAAAAGAAUUAUACAUUUACAAGUAGGAAAAAUGGGUAAAAAAAACCUCACCUUUCCCAAAUACAUUUAAAAAAACCUCAACUUUUUGUAGGUUUUUAAACCCUCACCUUUUCAAAAAUGGUAAAAUAACAAUUAGCAUUAUUAAACCAAAUAAAUACAAAUUAAAUACUAAAUAAACUAUUAUAUUAAGACAUAAAAAACAACAUAAUUUAUAAUCUAUCUUUUCCAAAUUUGAGUUUAGGAUUUUUUUUCUUCUAGAAUUUAGUUGUUUUUUGUGAUAUAAAAAAUAAGUUUCAUUGCCAUUAGAAAUUGGUAUGUAAACUAAAACAAUUUAUAACAUAGCACAUUUUAUUUUAUUUGUGUUCAACUAUGUUCUAACCUUUGAAGUUUUGGAUUUAAAAUGGAUAAAAUUUAUUAACACAAAUUUGAUCUAAACUUGAGUGACCUAAUAUUUGUUCUAAACUUGUGUGAUCAAAACUUUAUUCUAAACUUAAGUGUCCAAACCAAAUAAAAUUUUAUUAAAUAUAUUUUAUAUUUAGUUAUUACAAAAUUAGUUUAGUUUUACGUUGAUGAAUUUCUUGAACUCAACCAAAUUAAUCUUGUUUCAGUUCACUGCAUAUGUAGAAGAAUAUAUAUCUAUAUAUAUAUACAUAUAUCAUACCUAAAAUAAAAUAAUUAUUUUUAUCCAAAAUUUAAUUAAACUUACACUCGAAACAAAAUAAAUAAACUUUGAAUAGACUUUGGAUAUGUUAUCUUCAGUAUGAAACCAAUUGUCUGAACCAAAUUUAAAUUGUUUUCACAUAAAACAUUUUACUAGAAGAAAAUAUUUAAGAGCUAUGUCUUUGGUUAGAUUAGAAUCGACAUAUUUCGUUUUCAAGAUUGUUUAGUGGUAGUUUGUUGUUUUGCGUCAAGUUUUUUUUAAUGUUUUCUUUUCCUAUUUUUGUCGGGUUCAUCUCUUGCUUUUGGACCGGUCAAUCUAUAACUUUUCACCUUUAUAAUAAUAGGUAAAGCGGUUGUGUGACUCUUUCAUUUUCCUCUACUCAAGUUUAAGACUAAAUCUGGUCAAAUUUUUAUUAGACUAGUUAUGAUGGUUUGUUAUAAACCAUUUCACAACUGUUGAAAAAAUUAUUUCCACUACAAUGGUUUAUUGUAAUCGAAAAGUAAGUGAGAUGGCAAAUUUAUCAACACUCAUGAGAGUAGAAGAAAGAAGAUAAGUGUGACAAGUGUUAUAUUUUGAUUGGUUGCUUUUUUUUUUUGGACAAAAGCUUGUUUUUAUUCAAUUAAGAGAGAAACAAGUACAAAGGAACAAGGAUUCUAAGAUCCCAAAGUUUAAAGGACAACAAAGGUAGGCAUUCCCAACACCAUAAGAAGAAAAGCUAACACACAAAUAAGGUACAUCAACAAUGGUUCCAUGAGAGCUAUAAUCCAAACACUUGAAGGGAAUUUGUUACUUUUAAGAUCAAGGAUUGUUGACAAAUCUUCCACGAACAAAGUAGUGGAUGAGAGUAUGGUUACUGUCAAAAGACUUAGUAACGUUAACAAGGGCGCCAAAGACAUGAAUCUCGUCGGGACGAGAAGUACUACACCAAGUAGUGCUUUUGCAAAGGUUCGAACAAGGUUUUGGUAAAGGAAGGAGGAUCGUCGAGGCUUAGAAAGAUUGAUGCGAGACCGUAACAGAACAGGUGGGUCCUCUCUCCCAAGAAGACCAAGGAGAUUAAGGAAUUCCACACAAAGCUUGUAGUCGGUUUGCCACAUGAAGAAAAGGCCAGACAUGAGGAAAUUGAGUAGAUAUCACUUUGAGGCACUAGUCAAUAGGGAGGGAUCUCUCACAAGAGAAUUGAGAAGUUCAUGUUGAAGCUUGAUCCAAACCCGGGGAGUAAUGGUGAAUGGGAGGUUCUUGAAGUUGGUCGAUAUAGUUGUCAGUAUGAAAUACUUUGAUAGAGAGUUUUGGUGACUAGCGUCACAUCUCCGACAGAUUGGACUAAGAAACACUAGACCAUGAAUCUUCAAAACGGAAUCAUAAAACAUUGCCCUAGCUAAACCUAGCACCAAGGUUCUCAGAUAAUAUUUGUAGGAGCAUAUCAACGAGGGUGAUUCGUCAUUCAAGUGGUGUCCCUAACCCCUCAAAAUAAAGAAACGAUGUCUACAUUGGGAUAGACUCGGCAAAUUGCAGAUGGAGGAAUACCUGGAUUUUUGUGAUAAUAGGUUUGGGUCGCAAUUUAUGGGCUUGGGCCGCGAGGGAAAUGGGCCAACAUUGGAGACAGGGCCCAUCAAAGAAAACCCUCGAUUCCAGAUUGUUGGGCAAGGAGCGUUGGGAGUGCGGCGGCUACGGUAGAGAGGUACGAAUUGCACAAUUGAAGCAGACGUCUCUGAUGUAAAUAGAGUUAGGGUGAACAAGCUGCAUGACGGGUCCGGCGCUGAGGCUAUAACAACGGCUAAUGGUUUGGCAAAAGAACGUCGGAGAAGCCUUAGGGAGCCGAAAGGUCCCGCAGAUCUAGUAACGAUGAGGAGGCGGAGACAAGGCUCAGGUUGGAAGGAUUGGUCGCCUAUGAAAUUGAAAGCUUCACAAACUGUUUUCUUUGAUUCGCAAGGUUUGGACAGAGAGUGUAGCUUGCUCGGAGGCCACAUUUUGCCUAUGUCGGAGAAUACUGCUUCAAAGAAGAUUCAACAGCAAAGAAGAACUCGAUAGAUUUGGAUUAAAAGGUUUGCAACAGAAGAAAACUAAAUUACAACGAAGAAGUAGAUGAAAGAUUGAGGAAAUAGCUCGAGAGAUGAGAGGGAGGUUCCGAUGCCGGCGAGCAUUUGCUCCACCGACGUCGGAAAGAUGAAGGGAGAUAGUUUCCUCGAUAUUAGUGUCUAUUAGCUCCACCGACGUUGAAAAGAUGAAGGGAGAUAGUUUCCUCGAUAUUAGUGUCUGGGAGAGAAACUCUUUAAAAUCUUAGUCUCGCAAAAAAUUUGAUUGGUUGCUUUGAUUUCUAUAUUUUUUUUCUUAAUUACAUAACUUUAAUUAUUUCAUAAUAUUUAUAAAUAAACAUAUCAAAAUUUACAAUUUUUCAUUCUCUAUAAAUAAACACUAUCUUCAUUUGAUUUGGACAAAACAAAAAUAAUCUUUCUUUAGAAAAAAAAAAGUUUAGUCUCCAAUAAACUUUUGUUUUAGCUUUAAAUAUACUUUUAUCUAAAUGGAUCCAAACAAUAACCUUUCAACACCCAAAACUUUUCUAAUUACUUUUAAACUAUCCAAAUCCCAACAAUUAUUAGUUGCAGGUGUGUCAGAAGGACAUUGAACGAGCAUUUGGAGUGUUGCAGGCUCUAUUUAAAAUUAUUCGCGAACCAGCUCGACUGUGGGACAUAGCCGAUUUGACUAUCAUCAUGAGGUCGUGUAUCAUAUUGCAUAAUAUGAUUGUUGAUGAUGAACGACAGACGUAUACUCAACAUUGGACUGAUUAUGAUCAAUCUAAGGCAAGUGGGCCGAGUACAUAACAACCAUUCUCGACCAAAGUGCUACUUGUAUUUGCAAAUCAUCUGCGUGGUAGAUCCAAGUUGCGUGAUUCAAAUGUACACCGCAAAUUGCAAGCAAAUCUAGUCAAACAUAUAUGGGCACAAUUUGGAAUUUUCCAUGGUGAAUGAGAUUUUUAAGUUUGUGAGUUGAGAUUAAUAUACUAAUUAAGUUACAAAUGUUUCCUUACUUGUUGUGUGCGUAUUGUAUUGCAUUUUAAAUCUAUGUUCAUUGUAUGUGUUUUAGUAAUGAUUAUUUUUAUUUCUAGUUUUUAUUAUUUAUAAAGUUUUUUUAAAAAAUAUAUACAAAUAUUAAAACAAAAACUAUUUUAUAAAAUUUAUUUAAUAUUUAAUUAUUUAAAUUUAAUUUAAUAUUAACGGUGAUUAAUAAUAUUUAAUCACAAAAAACAUAAACAUAAAUAAAAUGAAAAAUAUAAAAUAAAAAUUGUGGGAUAAGGUGUUGUAAUUUUAUCAAACAAAACUAUUGUAGAGGGAAAAAAUUAUGUAGGUGUGGAAUAACGAUGUGGAAGAGAGAGAAAACGAUGUGAAGUGUUAAAAGGGAAAAAAAGGGUGUUGUAAAUGGGUAACCAUUGUAGAUAGUCUUAGGAAGUGAAUGGUGACUUUAAGAUUUGCAGAUUUCGAAAGAAAAAGAAAAAAAUGCACUAAUGUCACCAAUCAGACAUAUGUGUGUAAUUUGUUUUUUUUUACAGAUAAUUUGGCACACACAUUUCAAAGCAUGUUAAUACACUAGGGAUAAAAGAAACACACUCUACUAUCGUCCAAGGGAUAUUUGGCAGCGCUUAACUAAAAACUUGCAUUACACAGUAAGUAAUAAAUCAAUUAUUUAAUUAAUAAUAAAAUGUACCUAUAAAUCAGAUCAUGUACUCUAAAACUAUUCACACAUUACAACCAAAAACAACAUCCUCUCAUAUUUCGCUCCAAUCCAAAAGAAAAAAAAAACAAUCUCCCACCCUUUCGUCAUAUAUUACAACAUUUAAAUGUAAAUUACUUUUACUAUACUAGUAUAAUAAUUACUUAUAACAAAAUAUUUCUAUGUAAUUAAGGUCUCUUUAUAAAUAAAUAGGACUGAAAUUAAGUAUAUAAAAUUGUUCAAAAUUUAGUAAAUCAUAAAAUGUUAUAUUUAUGUACAUAUUUAUAUGACUAUGUUUUAUUUUUAUAUUCAUAACAUCAGUAUUAAAUUUUAAUCAAAUCAUAGAAAUUUUUAAAUAUGUAUAAUAAAUGGUUGUGAUAGUAUUUACUAAUCAAGAUGUAUAUAUAUUUAUUAAAAAGAGAAAGGAAAAUUUUGAAGAUAUACAAAAUUACUAUUUUUUUAAAUUAUAGUUUAGUAUAUUUAUAUUAGAUGGUAAUAUGAUAUUAUGAAUUUUUUCAAAACUUAAUUAAAUCAAUUAAUUUAAUCAUAUCAAAAGUUACUUAAAUCAAUUCAUUUCCAUCAUUAUUAAAUUUUAAACAAAUCAUAGAAAAUUAAAAUAUGAAAAGAAAUGGUUGUGAUAGUACAAUAAAGUGAUUCCGAGUUCCCUUUGCCUCCGUCGGAGAAGUAUUAUCUAGUUGAUUAUGACUACCCAAACAAAUAAGGAUUUCUAGUUCCUUAUAGAUCGUCAGGAAAUCGAGUUGUGAGAUAUCAUAUGUCUCAAUUUUAUUUUGGUCCUCCUCCUAGAAACAAACAUGAACUAUUUAAUAUGUCAUGCAUCUUUACGUUCUGUUAUCGAGAGAACUUUUAGAGUUUCGGAAAAGAAAUGGAGGAAUCUUUUUCAUUUUCCUAGAUAUAAUAUUCAUAUUCAAAAAAGAGUGGUAAUGGUUAUAGUGUGAUUACAUAAUUUUAUCAGAAUUUCAAACUUCUCAGAUGUAGAUUUUCUUGAUGUAAUGACAGAGACAAAUAUAAACUACAGAGAUUAUGAUCAUCAUUUAGAUGACAUAGAAGCAACAGAGAUAACAAAUGGAGAACAUAUGAUGCCAAUAAAAGACAAUAUUGCAAAUAUGUUAUGGCAAAAUCAAAAUAAUAUAAAAUAUUUUUUAAUGUUUUUUAUGAUGAAAUUAGUUAAGGCAUGUAACAAUAUGUAUGUUACAAAAUUAAAUUUAUAUUUUGAUCAAUUUUUGUAUUAGUGGUUUAUAAAUAUCUGUUAUUGUUUAUUUAUUAACACAAAAAAUUAAUUAAUUAUUAAUAUAUAUAUAUAUAUAUAUAUAAUUUAUAAUUCGCACCGCAUGUAGUUUUUUCACCAAUCAAACAUUAUUUUGUACCGCUUAUUUUGAAUAAACCGUACUUAUCCCGCAAAUAUAUUUCUCCUACACGAACCGCAGUUUAACCGUACUACACUUCAAUAACGCUUUCCCCGCACUAUAAAAACCACGGUUACCAUUCGGACCCUUAGAGCUUGUUUAAAAAAUUGCUAGGCGUUAACCGGGCAUUCGGGGACUUAUCGAUAUUAGUUUUUAACAUUUUAAUAUUGAUAUAUACAUAUAAAUUAAAUAUCGGAAUAUAUGACAAUGGAAUUAAUUUGGUUGAGUGUCAUCUUUUUUUAUUUGGAAAUUGCACAAUCUAUACUCUGAGGAGUCGUUAUUUAGGUUCCCAAAAAAGCAACUGUUUGGCUGGUACUGUGGAUGUGGAAAUUGCGCAUGUAUGAAAAUAUAUUGUGUGAGACGGCUUCAUUAAAAUCUUAUUAGAUUAUUAUUGUUCUUCGCAUGUGGUUUUUGUUUUCUAUAUGUUUUUUAUUUAUUGAUUUAUGGGGAAACCAAUCAUCAUCAUCAUUUCCCUUCCAAUACGGAGAGCUUGGCAAUGCGAAAGAUUUGGAUGGCAAAUGUUUGGUAUAAAUUUUUCGACCCGUUAAUAUUAUAAUCUUGAUAUUAUUUUUGUUAACGUCAUUAAUCUUUUGCAGACGUAUGUGGAGCCUAUCAUUUUCCCUGACGUGGAGAUGAACCCGAAAGAAGAUUUAACCUGGUCUGACGAUGAGGAAGAUGUGAUGGGUUGAUAAUAUCGUCAUGUUAGUUGGUAAAGGGAUUACUUUUCAGCUCCCUCCAUUCUGAUUUGCCAACUCCUACAAAUGCUAAGGUUAGUUAACUGAUAUUUAUUUUAUAAUCGUUGUGUUUAGUAGUUUAGCAACUAAGUAUUAUAUGUGAGUAGCUAUAUUUUUUCUUUAUUUUUGUAGCUUUUUUGCCUCUGUUUCAGAGUUUUCAAUUAUCUCCAAGAUGUUGCAGGUAAACAAAUCUGUUGAGGUCCUUGAUCAUCGAGAUGAAGAACCGGUUUAUUUAUUUACACUCCAUUUUUGUUUAACUUUACUGUACAUUUUUGUUAACCCCCUCCAUAUUUUAUUAGCCGGUAAGAUUGUUAUCAUUCAUUUUCUUUUUAAUUAUUUUAUUCUGUCUUGCAGACCAAAAUCAAUCCUUCAAAAUUAACCACUACAGUCGAGGAAGAAAAGGAUUCUAAGGAGGUUAGAUAAUUCUUCCUUGUUUUUAACUUUCAUUUGGUUAAAUCCUUAACCGGUGAUAUAUUGCAUGUUUCAAUUUUAGGAUUUUACCACUCCACCCCUGUCAACCCAGUCUCGCUCUAACGUGAAGGUUAUCUUCUAACUAUGAUGUUAUCGCUUAUUGUUUAUAUUCAUCUUCCACGUUUGUAGGAUGUGGUGUGCCCUGCAAGUGUGUAUGCGGAUUAGCUGUUAAAAAAAAUAUUUCCAAGACGCAAGAAAAUUCGGGCUGCCCCUUCUUCCGCUGUGUAAGCAAAAGAGACGUGAGUUAUUUCCUCUCUAAAAACGAUGUUAUUAGCUUUUCUGGUAGCUACACGUUUUGCUAGUUAACCUAUCAUUCUUUUUGUAGGGACAUUUGUUUAAGUGGGUUGAGGAUGUUGUAUAUGAAGAAGUGGAAGAUGCAUUGGUUAGACUUGUAUCGAUUUAAAAUGAGGUAAAUGAUUAAAAGCGCAGGUCAUCCAGUUUUGUGUUGCUAUAAAAGAGUUGAAGGCAGAUUCAGUGUCCGACCAGUUGGUGAUGCUUAUGUUGAAAGUGGGCUUGCUUUUCAGAUUUGUCUUCUCUCUUUUUGUAGCUUUUGUUAUCGCAACACUUCUUAAAAUAGUCGAUAUUAAGUUCAUUAGUAGUUUUUAAUGUCUAUCUUUGUAAUGUUUCAUAGUUUCUAUAAUUCCCUAUGUUUAAGAUAUUAUAUUUGUUAGUCGUUAACCAUGUAAUAUAUACCUUGUAUCAAUCUUCUGUCUAUAUAAUAUUUUAUAACUUCUCAUUUAUUUCUUUAUUUUUGUACCAUUUGCACAUUCUUUAGGCGAUAUUUAUAACCAUUUUAAAACUUAUCUUUUAUUUUAAUUUUUUGGUAGCAUUUUCACAUUUAUUAAGCGAUAAUCUAAUUCUUAGCCAUCCAGCUGUGGUCCUAUCUUCUUAUUUUAGGACGCUAGUUAUCUUUUUUCUUAGUAUUGCAAAUUUUAAGAAGAGGGUCUAUAUCUUGGUACAUAUUUUGUUACAGAAUAUCAUUCAACAUAAACAUAUAUUUAACAUUCAGAAGGAAGGUUUGUUGGGAUCGUCCCUGAUUGCAGAUAAUACACAUUUUUUGGAUCAGUAAUUGUACGUAUAUACAUUGAAAAUUUUCUGAUCUCCGAAUUCUUGUUAUUUAUAAAACAUGACUUCUCGCGAGUCUUCUAAGCACGGAACCAUCCGUUCAAACCCUCCCAUAGUCCAAAAAAACAGUCCUCUCCUUCCAUCUUCAUCCGCAAAAAAAAAAUUUUCCUCGUCGCUUACUUGCCUCCAUGUACCACAUUAAUUUUUUGAUUAGCAGUCAUUUUUCUUUUUAAUCAGAUAACACCUACUUUAUCGACACUAGUUUCUUCAUACACCAUGGUAAAAGUUUUGUUAUCGGCUGCUUUUUCAAAAAAUGAUAAGGAGCUAUAUAUAUAGAUAGCAAACCAAAGAAAGUUGCCCUAACUACACACCUGAGACUUAAAUGCUCUAUGUUUCUAUCUUCUUUCAAUAUUUAUCGUUUGCAGUGGUUUAUAUGUUAGUUGUUUCAGUUCUUGUUGUUGCAGUAAUGUCGAUAUGGAGAUAAUAAAUAGGCAAACAUCUAUCUUCCAUAUCUGCACAAUCGAUUAUGUAUCAUAUGUAAUCAUUACUUUUUACAUUUUUUUAUUAGUUUGACCAGGGGGCGCAAUAUCUUCGAAGAUUACAGAGCAUUUAAUGCUCGUGAUCUUGCGGAAGGAGACUAGUGAUCCUCUGCUUGUAUAGGAACAAUUAUGUCAUAUUUAAUUUGCAAGAAAAUUUUCACCUAAAUAACGAAAUGAUAUGUAUAGAUCCUUAAUUAUUUUCUCCUGUAGGUAUAUAUAUUUCAUUCACUCUUUUUAGUUUAAUGAAAUAGUAAAUGACAAUAUUAUCCUCAUCUUAUUCUUUAGAUCUUAGCGACUGCAACCCUAAUUUUUGUCGUAUCGUUUUUCACAAUUCUUAUCAUUUUUUCUUACCCUUUAAUGAUUUAUACCCAAAUAUAAUAGAUCUACAACCUAAAGACCGAUUUAAAACUUGUAUUUCUUUUUAAAAAAUGAGUUUUUCUAAGAGUUUUCAAUUUUUUUUGGCGAUUUCAACAAAUCGAGGCGGUGGUGGUCUGAAGAGCGCUUAGUUGGACGAGUAAUCGGUUAGACGACCAAUUUUUAGAACAAGGGUCUUGACAAUCCACAAUGCAAGUGUUGAAUUAUUUAUUCAAUUGUUGAACCUUCACAUUGCACAUGUUGAAUAGUUUAAAAAAUCUUACGUGGAUUCAACUUGGUUGAAAGUAUUCAAUAUGUUAUAAAGAAAAAAUUUGGGCCCGCGCAUGCCACAUGUCAAUAAAUGAGUAAAGGAUGUGUUUCAAACUCGGAGAAAGGAGAGCGUAUUGUCCAAACCUUUUUCUUUUUACUUUUAUUUUUUUUUGCAAAAAGAAGAGAUUAUUGAGAUGCUCACACUUGCUAUAUUUUCAUUAGAUAUUAAGAUUUUGGAGAUUUUAUUUCUAUCUUAUUUAUUUACAAUCAAUUAUUACAUACCAAACAAUUUUUUUUUAAAAACUUAUAUUUAUAUGAAAAUUUAUAAAUUUUUAAACUCUAGAAAUAGAGACUUAGUUCAUUUUAUUUGGACACAUAAAAAAUAUUAUUUCUACCAUAAUUUUCUUAUUCUUCUCCCAUAAACUCUUGGUUAUAUCCUUUUUUUUUAUGGAUUCUAAUAAAAUCCCUAUGCAAAAUUAUACUAAUUUUUCCUUUCCCUAUCCUAAUUCCAACAAUAAUCCUACGCAAAAUUCGACUAAUUACGUUUUUCCUUAUCAAAAUCCCAACAAUUAUCAAUUUCAAAAUCUAUCUUUCAACCAACCUCAAAAUUUCCCAAAUUAUGAUUUUCUACCAAAUUUUUCUAUGCUCUCAUCUGUUCCAAACUAUAAUUCAUAUUAUAGAUCGAUUCCAAAUUCAUCUCAACCACCUCUUUAUGAUUUGAGGUUGUGAUUUUCAUUGACAUCAAAAAGAAAAAAAAAAAAAAUAUCACAGAAAGGAGACAAUGAAUAUGAUUAAUAUUUAAUUGGUAAACUAUUAGAUUAGGCGGGGGUUUUCUCAAAAAUUGUCUCUUUUGUAGGACUGUUGUCACCAAUAUUUUCAGUAUCUUUUACUUUUAUUAAUUUUUAAUAAAAUUUAUGAUAAUAAAAAAAAUGAAAAUAAUCGUAAAUAAAAGAAAAAAAGAGAGUUGUGGGUUCUUUCUUUUUAGUUACCCACGCAUCGCUGUCGAAAGAUUAAUUAUGAAAUCAGAUGUUUGGUUGAGUAUAAUAGUAAUGCAUGUCAUUAGUUUAAAUUUAUAAUAUUAAACAAAAUUAUAAAUAAGAUAUUUGAACAAAACAAAAUUAAGUUAGUUUAAACGUUAAUUGGAAACCAAAUAAGAGAUCUGUUAGGAAAAAAGAAAAUAUAUACCAAAUAAGAGAUACAGGAAAUCAGAAAUUUUAAUAUUAUGUGUUUGAAUCUUCUCACCAAAAAAAAUUAUGUGUUUGAAUCUUCUCACCAAAAAAAAUUAUGUGUUUGAAUCUAAUUGAUUAAUGGACACGGUCUAGUAAAUUAUAAUUUUUUUGACCCGCGAAAUAUAGUGAAACAGAGUUUAUCUCUAUACAACAAGACAAAAAAGAAGUUCUAAGAUCAAACUCUGUUUGAUAUACAAAAAUUAUAUUGUAAAUGAAAAUGGAACUUUGAGAUUGAUCUACAACAAGUCUGCUACACUCAUCACAAACGUAAUGUGAUUAUACACAUCCACGUUGGCCGCAAAAACUAAGGAUCUUGUAUCAUCUGGAUCAACAGACAAAAUCAUAUUGCAAUAGUCAGCAGCAUCACGUGCGAGACUAAGGUCGUCAUCAGUCUCAUCAACAUCACCAUUGCCCAUUGACCGCUGUGCCUUCAUUAGCCCCUCGACAACAGAAUCUUUAUAGUUCUCCAUACAACUCUUGAAACAUGGCUUCUUAGGAGAACCAAUGAGAAACUGUGUGUGCUCUGCCUUCUCCAUGGCUAGAGAAAGAGCCGCCUUAGCCAACUCUAAUACAGUCGAUGCGGAUUUCGUGCGAUGAUCUAACGUUAGGGAUUUGAUACAUUCUUCUUCUAGGGACGAGAAUGACGCGGUGCCUUUACAAGCCUUUGAUAUCAGUAAUGAUGGAUAUGGACAUGUCUUUGGUUUGGUUGAUAAAUGGGUAGCAAUGUUGGAUUUUGCAUUGGUAUAUGGCCACCGCGAGAGGAGAAGGAAGGUUAGGAUAUGGAUUGAUAGGUAUGCAUGAGAAGCAUAUAAACAAACCAUCGUUUUAUAUGUUCAACAAAGCUUGUUCUUUGACUAUAGGUUUAAAUGAAAUAGUAGAUUGAAGUUUGUACAUAUAUUAACUUUUGUUGUGUCAAUGGUUUAAAUUGUCCAUUGUUUAGUUCCACAAGUUUUAAACAUGAUAUGUUAUUUAUAGGUUUGGAAUGAACGAUAGAGGAAAAAUAAACUUGUCAACGCUAAUAAUAAAAGAGUGUAUCGAAAAAGAGAGAAAAAAACAAAAAUUCAUUGUGAUUCUUUUGUUAUUUUGUUUUUCAAUGAUUCAAUUCAAUGUCUUAAUUUCUCUCCUAACAUAAAAGUUAGUUAUGGGCAUUCGGUUAUCCAGUUUCGGUUCGUUUCCAUUCCGUUAUCGUUCUUUCGGUUCUAGAGUUUAGUAUCCAUUCAGUUAUUUUGAUAUUUCGGUUCGUUUCAGUUCUUACAGUUCUAAAAUUUAAUAUACAUUCGGUUAUUUUGCUUUGAGUAUUUUUGGAUAUUUCUGUUAUUUUUAUAUUUUUGAGUAUUUUUACUAUUUAUAUAUACUUUUUAGUAUUUUUAAUUAUUUAGUCUAGAAAUGACUAGUAUUUUUGAAAAUAUAAUUAUAUUUCGGAUACUUUUGGUUAUCCAAAAUAUUUCAGUUUGUAUCCACUCGAUUUCGGUUCUUUUGGUUAUAGAAUUUUAAUAUCCGUUAGGUUAUUUUCAAAUUUUCGGUUUUGCUCCGUUUUUUUACAUCGGUUGCGGUUCGGUACAUUAGGUUCGUUUUAUAUGCCCAAGCCUAAUAAAAAUCAUGUUCAUUUUGGUAUUUAUAGCUUUAGUAGACACAUGUUUAGUAAAACAAAUUCUCAAACAAGAAGAUUUAUGGAAUACCUUGUAAGACUACUUAGACUAGUUACAAUGGUUUGGUGGUGAAAAAAACAUUUCCACUACGAUGGUGUGCUGUAAUCAAAGCUAGGUGAUGUGGCAAAUUUAGUAUUGAUAAAUAUCAAUACCCGUGAAAGUAGAACAGAGAAGAUAAGUGUGACAAGUGUUAUAUUUUGAUUGGUUGCUUUGAUUUUUAUUUUUUUUGUUUCAUCUCAACUAUAUAACUUCAAUUAUUUUAUAAUAUUUGUACAUAAAAAUAUCAAAAUUUAUAUCAAAAUUUCUAAUUUUACAUUCUCUAUAAAUAGAGACUAUUUUCAUUUGAUUUGGAUACAGAAAAAAAAACUAUUUUUAGACCCAAAAAAGGUAUAAUCGCCAAAAAAAAAACUUUUGUUUUACCUUUAAAUAUCUUUUUAUCUAAGUGGAUCCAAACAAUAACCCUUUCAACACCCAAAACUCUUCUAAUUACCCUUUUAACUAUGCAAAUCCCAACAAUUAUCAGUUUCAAAAUCAAUCUCCUAACCAACCCCAACAAUUAUCAGUUUCAAAAUCAAUCUCCUAACCAACCCCAACAUAUAUCAAAUUAUGGUUAUCCACUAAAUUUCUUCAUGCCGUAAGCUGUUCCAAACUAUCGUCCAUUUCAUGGAUCGAUGAUGUCUUAUCCAUCUUAAACACCUCCUUAUUUUCCUACUCCAACAGGUAAUGAAACUGAUUCGAAUCUUGGAGCAACUGAUUUUCCCGAGUUUUCUACCCAAAUGGCUCUUGGUGGUAUUAGGGUAUUCAUGAAGCCAUUCCAGAUGCAAAGGAUUCAACUCCUUCUCGUCGGAGAAGUCCCAAAUGGACCACUGAUCAAAAUUUGGUUCUCCUGAGUGGGUGGAUUAAAUUUGGAAGAGACAGUAUUAUUGGCAAAAACUAAAAAUGUGAGUCAACUGGGGUAAAAUUGCUGAAUAUUGUAAUGAACAUUGCUCAUUUGAUCCUCCCCGUGAUGGAGAAGCAUUCAGAAAUCACUAUAAUUAUGUGAACAAAAGCGUGAACAAAUGGGCUGGCGCUUAUGAUAACGCUAAAUGUAUGCAACAAAGCGGGUGGUUGGAGGAUGAUGUAUUGGUAAAAGCGCAUGAAUUAUAUUCAAGUGCUGGUAAAAGAAGUUUCAAAUAGGAGGAAAUACUUAUUCUGGAAGCAGUGGAUCUAAAAGAGCCCACGAGAGUGAUGCUAGUGACUCAAACUCUGUAGGAUCUAGUGCUCGUCCAAUGGAAAGAGAUGCUGCUAAGAAAAAGCUAAAAAAAAAGGUAAAGGCGCAGCGUUGAAAGUGGUCAACGAAGAGUCGAACGAAUUUUAACAAUUCAAGGCACAAGAGUUGGAUAGGUUGGAGAAAAUAACUAUGAUGCACAGUGAAACAAACCAAUUGAUUAAGGAAAAGACUCAUGCUAAAAAGAUGAAGAUGUUUAUAGAGCUAACUGAAAAAGAGAAUCUCGAUGACAAGAGCAAAAAGCUAUUGCAACAAUUGAGCCACGAUCUAUUUGGAAAUUAAUUAUUGUCAAGUGGUUAUCUGUAUUUUGUCACUUCAUGCUUUAACGUGUGUUUGUCACUUUCUCCUUUAAUAAUUUGUAUUGUCAUGUUAUGCUUUAAUAAUGUGUGUUUGUCACUUUCUCCGUAAUUUGUAUUGUCUUCUAUGCUUUUUUUUUUUGUGCGAAAUAUUGUCUUAUAUGCUUUAUUAAUAUUAUCCAUGAUUUUAAAUAGAGAAUCUUAUCUUAUCCAUGACUUUUGGUUUGAAGCACUCAAUUCGAAUCCAAGGCACCAACAAUUUAAUUCGUUGUUUCCAUUUUUUUUAUAAAUUAGAACUCAUUCUUCCAUUGAUGUACAAACCAUAAAUCUUACCUUACUAAAAAUCUCAAUGGAUCCAUCAGAAUAUCCUUUUGACAUCAAAGCUUACAAGAGGCAGUCUGAAAUUGAAGAGAUGUAUAUCAUCAAUCGGUUUAGGGAGCGUCGAAACAAAAUAGGGGAAGACUAUCCACCUCGUAGCAAGAGAAAAUACUUUAAAAGAGACCAUGCAUCAGCAAAAUUAAAGAAUAUUGACGACUACUUUGCCAAUGAACCUAUAUAUGACGAUGCAAUGUUUCGUCGGUGAUUCCGGAUGAGAAAACAUAUUUUCUUUCGGAUCGUUGAAGACUUAUCAAACAGCGACAACUAUUUCACCCAACGAUAUGACGCAGCCAAGAAAGAAGGUAUAUCUCCAUUACCAAAAUAUACUACGACCAUGCGAAUGUUUGCAUAUGGUGUGGCAGCUGACGCGGUGGAUGAAUACAGUAAAAUUGGAGGUACUACUACUUUAGAGUGCUUGCGAAGAUUCUGUAAAGGAAUCAUAAAGCUGUAUGAGACAGAGUAUCUCAGAGCCCCAACUCAAGAUGACCUCCAAAGAAUUUUACGUGUUAGUGAGAUGCGAGGGUUUCCCGGGAUUAUUGGGAGUAUUAAUUGCAUGCAGUGGGAAUGGAAAACUUGUCCUACAGUGUGGGAAGGUCAAUUUACUCGAGGAGAUAAGGGAACCACCACUGUUAUUUCUGAAGCAGUUGCAUCUCAUGAUCUAUGGAUCUGGCAUGUUUUUUUGGAUGUCCGGGCACACUAAACGAUAUAAAUAUCCGUUCACCGGUGUUCGAUGAUGUUGAACAAGGAAAUACUACAAGAGUGAAUUUUUUUGUGAGCCAACAUCCGUAUAAUAUCGCUUACUAUCUAGCUGAUGGUAUUUAUCCUUCUUAUCCUACUUUCGUCAAAUCGAUUAGGCUACCUCAAAGUGAACCAGACAAGUUAUUUGUACAACGUCAAGAGGCGUGUCAUAAGGACAUCGAACGUGCAUUUGGAGUGCUGCAAGCUCGAUUUAAAAUCAUUCGUAAACCAGCUGGCCUGUGGGACAUAUUCGAGUUGGCUAUCAUCAUGAGAUCGUGUAUCAUAUUGCAUAAUAUGAUUGUUGAGGAUGAACGAGAGACAUAUGCUCAACACUGGACGGAUUAUGAUCAAUUUGAGGCAAGUGGGUCGAGUACACAACAACCAUUCUCGACCCAAGUGCUACUCCUAUUUGCAAAUCAUGUGCGUGAUAGAUCCAAAUUGCGUGAUUCAAAUGUACAUCACGAAUUGCAAGCAUAUCUAGUCAAACACAUAUGGGCACAAUUUAGAAUGUUCUUGUUGUCUGCUUAUUGUAUUUUUGUAUUUUAAAUUUGUGUUCAUUGUAUGUGUUUUAGUAAUAAUAAUUUUUUCUUCUCGUUUUAAUUAUUUGUAAAAGUUUUUAAAAAUAUUAUAUAAAAUAAAAACAAAUAUAAACACAACAAUACUUUAUAAAACUAUUUAAUGUUUAAUUCUUUUAAAUUUAAUUUGAUAUUAACGAUGGUUAAUAAUAUGUAAUCACAAAAAACAUAAACAUAAAUAAAAUGAAAAAUAUGGAAUAAAAAUGGUGGGGUAAGAUGUUGUAAUUUUACUAAACAAAAACUAUUGUAAAGAUAAAAAUUGGGUAGGUGUUGAAUAAUGAUGUGGAAGAAAGAGAAGAUGAUGUGGAGUGUUAAAAGUAAAAAAGUGGGUGUUGUAAAUGAGUAACCAUUGUGGAUAGUCUAAGGAUAAAAAUUGUAUAGGUGUUGAAUAAUGAUGUGGAAGAAAGAGGAGAUGAUGUGGAGUGUUAAAAGUAAAAAAGUGGGUGUUGUAAAUUAGUAACCAUUGUGGAUAGUCUUACAAUGGACACGUUGAAAAAAAUAUUUGAAUAUGGUGCAAUGGUUGUUUUAAUAAAUGUUGUAGAGGAUGUGGCAAAUUUGGUGAGUAGGGAAAAAUAUCGUUUAAUAUUCCAACUUUCAAAUUAUGGCCAUUUUAUACCUCAACUUUAUAUGUGACCAUUUUAAAUAUGAAGAUAUCGUUGACCAACCGUUUAAACCAUAAACAUUAGUUGACCAGGCUAAAAAAACUAACCGUUAUCACUCGUUAACAGAUUAUCUAACGUCCGUUAACAUCUCCAUUAGCUACCCCUAAACGACGUCGUUUUCAUAUUUUAAAAAUAAAUAACGAACGUAGGAUUCAAACUUGUAACCUAGAGAAAAACUAGAGACUUACUUAACACCCUCACCAACAGUAUUUUAUUGGUGAACUUUGAGAAACAUAUAUUUAUUAAAGUUUUCUCCUUCAACUUUAACCUACAAAACAAAACCAUCUCCAUAGCCGCCGCCUCCAAAUCCGUGUUCUCUCUCCAUUGAUUUUUUUAAUCUUAAUCAUAUAUUGUUUUUUGUUGAUUGAAAAAAAUUUGUAUUUGCUAAUUCAAUUCAUCUGGAACCUAUUUCUAUGAACACCAUUGAUGGAUUAGUCAAUUGAUAUGAAAUCAGUUACACAAACAGCACUAGUUCUUCGUCGUCUCACAUGCACCUUCGUUGUCUCACGUACACCUUGUGUAUAUGAUCUGUGAUUGCUCUUAAGCGGAUCUGAUGUAUUUAACGGCAUAAUAUAUAAUUAUGUGUUUCCGAAUAAUAAUUAUUAAACACUUUAUCUUAGUUGGUGUGGACAAGCAUAGGGAGCACUCGAAAGUUACGGGUUCGAAUCUUGAGUAAGUUAUUUCUUUUUAAAAUAUAAAAAUGACGUCGUUUAAGGGUAGCUAAUAGAUGUUAACGGACGUUAGAUAAUCUGUUAACGACUGAUAACAGAUAGUUUAUUUGGCCUGGUUAACGAAUGUUUAUGGUUUAAACGGUUGGUUAACGAUAUCUUCAUGUUUAAAAUGGCCACAUAUAAAAUUGUGGUAUAAAAUGGCCAUAAUUUGAAAGUUGGAGUAUUAAACGACAUUUUUCCUGUUGUAAUUUGUCAACACCGUGAAUUUUACUGGGUGGGGUUAUCUUUGUCUUGUGUUGUGUUUUCAUUGGUCACUAAAAUUUGACUUUUUCGUCCAAUAAUUUUUGAACUCAAUUAAAUUAUAAUAAACUUUUUUUUUUGUCAUCUGAUAAUUUAUUAAAGAAAAAAAUAAUAAAGUACAUAGUUAGAUCCAAAAGCCAAGUAGAACAGAAAGAGAAACAAAAUAAAAGAGAAACAACGAGAGAUACAAAAUGAAAUUUAAACUUUACUCUCCUCAAACACUUGAUUGUGAAACCAUGAAGGCUCUCCAAGUGCUAUGUAAGACUGAAACCUUCUUUCUUGAAUCACACUUCGAGAAAUGGAUCGCGCGAUCAGAUUUGCGUUUGUGGCAAUAUGACGGAAUGUACAAGAUUCAAAUGCACCAGCAAUCUCAUGGAUUUGUGCUAACCAAUUCCUGUAGAAAGGCCAUUUGGACGGCUGCAAAACGGCGUUAACUGCGGCUGGAUAUUCCAACUCUAUUAUCACCUUGGAGACGUGAAUAUCUUGAAAUGCUUUCAACGACCGUAGAAUGCAGCACAGCUCAGCCCCUGUUCGAUCUUGAAUUGGCGUAAACGCAUCUCGUGCAUGGUGUUUAGCUUGCCCUAUAUCUCUUACAAUUCAAGCUCCUCCACACAUCGAUUGUUUAUUUAUCCAAAAAGAAUUCAAAAUGCAUUUAAGAAUACCUUCUUGGGGUUUCCUCCAUUUGUUUCCAUCCAAAUUGGAGGUGAUUGCCGAGAGAAUACUGUUGAAGGCUACGUGUUCACCAUUUUCCAAUGCAUUGUGUCUUCAUACGCUUUUUGAACUAAAACAUGAAAAUUCCAUACCUUUACUUUGAAAACGGUAUGAUUACGAUUCUUCCAAAUUGCCCAUAGAACCCAUGGAAUUGAUAGUCGAGUUUGCUUUGGUAUGUGCUUGUCUUCGAUAACAUUCAAUAGAUGAGAGAAGUUUGCUAGUAAGGUUGUUGAAGAAAAACCUUGAUCCGAAGCUUGCACAAAAUGCUGAGAUUAAUAUGCUUAAAAGGAGAAUAUGGAAUCUAAAAUCUGAGCCACAAAUCAAGCUUUUCUGUUGGCGUGCUCUUUCUGGUGCUUUGGCUGUGGCAGAACGUUUAAGCUCACAGGGAAUACAACAUGACACAAAGUGCCAAAUUUGUGGUAUAGCUACAAAAACAAUAUGUCAUACUCUAUUCUCUUGUGACGUAUAGAAUAAGAAAAUGAUGAAUUUUGGUGUAAAUUAUUUAUGUAUCUAAUAGUAGUUAUUAAAAAAACCAUUGUAGUAUAUGAAAGUAAACUGAAUGUUGAAUGAUGAUGUGUAAGAGAGAGAAGAUGAUGUGUAGGUUGUUGUAAUUUUAAACCAAUGUAAAUAGUCUAAUAAAAAAAUAUUUGGGUUCACCCCACUCUUGUUCACCCUCUCUUAAUAAGCCAAUCAAAAUACAACAAAAUGCCAUGUCGUUUAAUAUUUAACAAUUAAAAUAUUUGGGUUCACCUCUAGGGUGGUUAAAGUUUAGAUUUUAUAAAUAAUUGAAAAUAUAUUUUGGUUGAGUUUAUAAAAUAGUGGUUAGAGUUUAAAUUUUAUAAAUAAACAAAAUUAUAUUUCGGUUUGGAUUGAUAAAAUAGUGGUUAGGUUUAGAUUUUGUAAUUAAACGAAAUUAUAUUUCGGUUUGGGUUGAUAAAAUAGUGAUUAGGUGUUAGAUUUUGUGAUUAAACUAAAUUAUAUUUUGGUUUUGGUUGAUAAAAUAGUGGUUAAAGUUUAGAUUUUGUGAUUAAACGAAAUUAUAUUUUAGUUUGGGCUGAUAAAAUAGUGGCUAGACUUUAGAUUUUGUAAUUUAAUUAAUUUAUUUUUUCAAUAUAUGAUAUGUCAAAUUCUAAUUGGUCAUUAAAAAAUGGUGAACCCAAGAAUUGUUCUUGUAAUAAUUAAACUUCUUAGAACAACAAAAAUUUACAAUAAAUUUAUAAAAGGAACAAUUAAAAAAAAAAAAAGGAGCAAAAAGCAUGAUAAAAGCUGAGAGAGGAAACUUAAAAAGCACACUUGUUUCCAAAACUAAAUAGGGUCAGUCCCAAAAUUGGAUUUGUAUAGUAACAAAUGAAUAACGGAAAAGAGAGUUUCAAGAUCUACGAACAACAGCAGUAGCGAAAUAAGGAUGAUGGGUGAACUCAAACGAUACCUUAAGCGAACGGUCUUGACAGAAAAGGUUCACAGCAACAAUAUUGCGUUCCGCGACUUUCUCUAAUCCCGUGACUUCAGCCAGCUUAUCAGGAUCGUUGGCGUAACCGACCUUUAUGUCCUUAGCGAUCUUUUGAGCAUCGUGAAAGUACUCAUACAUAGGAAGAUACUGCAGCAAAAGUAAAUAGAUACAACUUUACUUGCAUGUUCAAAACUCUUUCUAAUCGAACAUAGUAGAUUUAUACGUGUACACAUUCAUCACUAAAACAUUGUAAACAUUACCUAUGUUAUUAUUUGCUCAAUGAAGAUUGGGAUCUCAAUUUUCAUGUGUUUAUAUUUAUUAAUCAAGUUAUUGCUUUUAAGCAAAUAGUUAACUAAUAAAUCCUACAUAGAUAUAUUUUAAAUAAACUGUGAAUCCUAAAUUUUUCCGUAUUUUCCGAAUUACCUGAACCGAACUCAAGAUUUUGCGAUUUAUGGUAUUAAAGCAGAUAGUGAUUGUAGGUACCCGGACUACCUUUACAGUACUCGAUUCCCUAUCACCCAACCAAUUUUUUUAAGUGUAUGCUUCGGGUAGUAGAUUUAGAUAUACCUGAAAUAACCAUAUCCAACCCUUACCAGCUAUUACCUGACUCUAUACCCUAAAUGCACAUGCCUACUUCUACAAUUCAUUUGACCAAGUAAACAGGAUUAAGCACAAAAACAAAGUUGAAUAAAGCACACUUACGUCGAGACGAGCAUGGGAUGUGGAUUUUGAGAACGAUUCAUAUGCGUCAUAUUCUGGAAGGGAUGCCUUCUGAAGGAGUUCAAAAUGCUGUAUAAAUUUCUGCAUGUCAAGGAAAAUGGGUAGUUGAAGUCAUACACAGGAAGGGAUAAAACCACUCACCCAUUACUAAGGCUGAGGAUUUUUAUCUUACACAUUAAUUCAAUAACUAUGCAACAGAUAAAGAGACUUAUGCUUACCUCAUUUUCGGUAUUAAAAGGUCCUUGACUCUUUAAAGACAUUCCUUCAUUUCUCAAAGCUGCAAUCAUCUACGGGUAAAUACACAAGGUUUGGUCAGGUUUAGAGUACUUGAUAUCAGCAAUAGAAGGAGCUGGAAACCAAGAGAUUGAAGACAAAAUUACCACUGUGAGGCCUUGUGCAAGACAGGUCUGACAUUUGAGAAACAAUACCCAUAGACUAAUCCGAUCUUCCCGAGCCAUGUCCCUAGAAUACUCCUUAUUCCUCUUUGCUUUUCUUUCCUCUGAUCCAGAUGAAGGUAAAUGCAUUAUAAAAAGCUACAAAUACACACUAUGCAGUUAUGCCAAACCAAUUACUGUACAGAUGGUUCAUCUCCGAAACACUAGGACACAAAAUAAAAACAAAUGGAUAUAUGAAUGCUUACCAGUGUUCACAACGAUUAAGACCCUGAAACGUGCUCUUUCGGCAAGCUUCCAGAGUAUAAUAUACAUGUACCAGUAUACCAUGCAAUAUUCACUUGGCGAGUAGAGGUCUAGGUCAAAUCCCAGCAUGAGAAAGCGAAUUGCCACCCAAUUAAUUUGCUCUUCUAAUCCACCAUAUAUAUGGUUUAAAAUGAGUAGAGACUUAUCCUGAAAGGUACAUAAAUGCAAGUUAACACAAAAUUCAAUAUCUGCUUAUCAAUAGAGCCAAAAUUUUCCGAAAGAGAAAACAGAAGUUGUAGGAAUUUUGACUACUGGUUUGUUCAUGCUAACAAUGAAUAGACAGCCGUCAACUAGAUUCAGAUAGAGGUUUGAUUAAAUGGACCCAUAGUGAUGGUAGUAAACCUACCCCAUUUUUCGAACUGCGUGAUGUAUCUUGCUGCAUCAUUUGACCAACAGCAAUCCCCAUCUGCCAAAUACAGGAAAAUGUAUGAAUGAGAUCUUGACACAAAAACCCAAAUCAAUAUGCAAACAAUUUUAGGGUAAGCGAGCUUACAUAUAGUUAAGUAAAGAAUAAUACAGUUCCAACAAAGGCACAAAUGGUAUAACCUGCACAUGGAAUACGCUCCAGUCAUUUAAGAUUUUCCCAAGCUUACGCCUCUGCCAUGGGGUAUUAGCGCAUAGUAUUUUAAGUAGAUUAACCAUCAACUGCACCACAAAAUGAGAAUAGAGAUCAAACAGAGAUUUCUAAGAAAGGAGCCAGUUGAAUAAUUAUCUAACUUUUUCAGGAUCCAGAGGCUACCAAAACCACAAAACAUAGACAAGGCAUUCUCAUCAAAGUCCCCAUUAAAACAAAUAAUUUUUUGUUGUUUCAAUCUUCUUGAUGAUUGCAAAUUAGUUACAUCCACACAUGCUGAAAUUCUCUGAGAUUGGGGCUUAUACGCCAGACACCGAAUAUUGAACAAAACCAAUGAAAGAUUAUUCUUUUCAAGGUUUUACCAAGUUCCAAACUCUUUUCAAGGAAGAAUAAAGAGCUACCUCAUACACGUUUGUAGAAAAAAAUGUACCCAACGUAUUCUUUUAAUAUACUGUGUUUACCUGAUUAAGUUGAAGAAUGUACUCAUUCGUAUGGAGGCCAUGGUUCUUGGAGACAUCUAAUGCAAGAGAUCUGGCGCAAAUUGUCAAAAAGGUAUCACGGCCGUAAAGUUUCCCAUCUUGCACAAGGAGAAGCUGUAGAACAAGAUUAUUUAUUGAGUAUAAAAGGUAAAAGCAUUUUGCUAGCUUAAUACAUAAUUUAUUCACAAAUAUUGCUAAUAUCAUAACAAAAAUGGACAACCAUAUCAAUGCUUAACAGAAAUUUACAAUCAGAAUCAACCUCAACUACAAAUAUUGGAUCUAUAUUCUUAUAAGUCUUCAUAAGAAAGAAAAAUGAGAGUGUCAGCCACUACAUAUUCCAGUGUCAUCAUAAAUAAUAUCUAGAUAACAAUAAUAGUAAAGAGUCAACAAGAAGAAUAAGCAGAGCAUUCAACAGGCCUGUUGGCGAAAUGGGGCUUGAGGUGGUUCACGAGAGUUGGAUAUUCUCUAGUCCAUUGGUUCUAAGUUUAUGCAACUGUUCUUACAGAAAUAAAGGAGAUUUCUACUAUAGUCAUAUGGCUGAAUCACUCAACUCUAAGUGACAAUGAAUUGAAAAUGAGUGCUAAUGAACACAAAACUGCAAAGCAAGGAAGCGGGUAAAAGAAGAAGCCAUAUUAUCCACUAUACAAACACACCCUAGUGGAUGUAUGCGAACAUCAGUGCAACUACAGCCAAAAUAGUUACUCAAAACAAGAAAACAAAAUGAUAAAUGGGUAUCUGAAAGCACAGAGCUGCAUGAUAUUGAUGCGUUAAGUUAAAGUAACGCACCUGAAGAUGAGCCCUAGCAACCAAAUCAGGACGAGAUUUUUGAAACUGAAUCACAAACUCCAAGACGGCCUCUAAAUCUGGUUCCAAUGAAAAUGCACAGAUCUUAUCCAGAUUGUGAAGAAGUUUCACAUAAUAGUCAAUAGCCUGGAGAAUCAAAAAUUGAAAAAAGUUACUAAAAAGUUAUAUACACACAAACUAAAUUACGUAUACAGAGAAUUUAGAAGUCCCAACCUUUUUCCAAGAAAGAAGUUUAAUGGCACGUGGCGGCGUUGGAGCUGAUAAUCUUUUGUUUAAAGUAGGAUCAAAUCCAAUGGGGGACCGACCAGAAGCAGUUGUACUUUCUUCUAUCUCGUUUACGCCAUUCUCGAAAAUAUCUAAUCUUAGAAAUUCUGCUGAAUCCAGAACAGAAUCUAGCUCUGAUAUGCAAUAGCCUAUAUGUUUCCUUGCCAAUUCGAGGCCACGUCCUUGUGGUCGUCUCAUACAAUUAAGAGCAUGUAGAAAAUGCUGAAAGUUAUUGAGGAUAUGUUAAAACAACUAGCAGUGCAAAAGUAUAUAACAGCUACUAUUUUUUUUUUUAAAAUGGCUUACGAAACAAAAUAAUAAUAACAUCAUGAAUCACAUGUCUGGCGAGAAUUUUUAACCAAAAAUAAGGGUAAACAGGUAAUAAAAGCUGCCAUAUACUCAAAAUUUAGUCUCUGCUAAGCUUGUUCAUUCUUGUAAGUUGCAUAACAUGGAAAAUUUAACACAAUAAAACAUAUAUUAACUUUGUCUACCACUCCCCAUUGUGAGGUUAGGUUGAAGAAAAGCAACUCAUCAUACUCUUGUUACGUGUAGUUUAUCAAAGAAAGAAUAAAUAAAGCAUGAGACCUUACGGAACACUGGAUAAAAGACCAAAUGCAAAUUUUAAGUACUAAUUGUAGUUUUUCUUUUUCAAAGCAAGCAAUAAAAAAUUCUAUUCAUCGAUGGCCACCAGAAUACUAAUAAAAGGAACAGACUUGGGACUAUAUUAUACACUAGUUAACAUGACUUAAGUUGGGAAAACCUGUAAUUAACAACAUUUAUCAAAGAAAGAAUAAAUAAAGCAUGAGACCUUACGGAAACGUAUCCGGCAUAACAGAGAUUUGCAAAAACUCUCUUCCAGAUGGGGAUUACUUUGUAGAGGUUCCAAUUCUGCAUCUUUAACAAACAAAAGGAAAGAAAGUUAUUGUUCUCAGUUCGUGCUGCUGUGCACCAUUGUUACAAAUAAACAAUAGACCAUAUCACUCAAAGAGAUGGUAAAUUUUUAAAAAGAAAAAAUCAAUUGUAAUAAUCAGCGGACUUCACAUAUAAAUCAUUACUCAAUAGAAGACUCAAAGUUAUCGUAUAUAGGCCAGAGAGGCUAAUUUCAAGUUGGUAUAUGCUUAGAGAGCACUUGCAAAAUAUCUAAUUCCAAUGCAUUAUACUGUCUCCAAAUCACAAAUCACCAUUAAAUGUGUAAACAACAUAUCAUAAGAAAAGAAGCAACAGAAGACUCUUCGAUCCCCUCAUAUGAAUACGCUCUUCAUAUUUCAAUUCUGCAAGUGUGUGUAUGUAAAAUAAAAAAGGAAGAUAUGCAAAGCAAAAAAAGUACCUUCCAACAUUCUCCUUCUUGUGGCCUUACAAGCACGCAGCUGACGACAGAUAGUUUCUUCAACCGCAUUCAAGAGUAACAAGCCCUUGGCAUCUUCUUCUCCACUAAAAGGAAGACCAUAUGUCAUCGUAAAAAGAUCCUCUUCCUGUUAAUGAGCAGGUAUCAGGUGAAUCAUUCAGAGUAAACUAUCCAUGAAGCAGGGGCAUCUGUCUAGUUAAGAGAAACUUCUAUCCAAAAUAUCACAACAAAUCUUCUCAAGUAUUUUAUCUUCAUUUAGCUGCAUAAUGGUGGAAAUUUCUACAGAAAUAAGUUAUACGCUCUGCUAAUCAUCUCAAGAUUAAAUAACAACUGCUUAGGCUAGAUGAGAACGGAUGCCAAGACUUCAUUAGAAGAGUAAAGUCAAGUGAAUCCAGUUUUCGUCUCUGAUGUCAUAAGCUUAAGGUUAAUGACAACUAUGAAAUGUCAAAAUGGGUUAGCAACUGUUUUUCUUUACGCCAUAAAAGAAUGUUGGACAUAGCAAAAGAUUUUAGGAGCAAACAUUGAACACAAACUAAACCUUUAAUGAAAAGCCAAAAAACAUACAGAAACAUUUGCUUAGCCCCACAAGAAUAAAAGAGGACCAAAAAUUGUAAAAGUUAAUUACUUCAUUUGUACGCGCAUCUGAAACAACAGAAACAACUGCCCUGCAAGUUGCUCGGAUGACCCUACAAUAAGAAUGUAAUAGAGCCUGUGAAGAUGUCCUCUCAGGCCUCAGAACAUAGAUGCAUGAAAACACAGUUUGGGCCAAUGAAUGACCCAUGUGCCAUGUUGCCUGCAAAAGAGUAGAGACACAAAAUGUGGAUAAAUCAACUCCAAGGCUGACAUGUUAGCUACAUACAUAUCUCUUUAUCACAAUUAUACCUUGCAAACUCACACAGUAUUAUAUGAGCACAUGUAAAGAAGAGAUUACCUCACACGCCAGGAGAUGGUCCAUAAUGUCAAUGAUGGAUUGCACAUUAACAGUACUAUCCGAACUUAUAGGGACGGGCGCAAAACCACUUUCGAUGGCUUCAUCUAUAGAAUAAAACGUAGACACCAUACCAGAAUCCAUCUUUGGGUCCAUUAUCUAGUACAAAGCAAGGACACCACACCAUGUUUGUUAUACACACUUAUAGCAACCUCACAAUCUAAGUUUACAGCUAAGAACAGUCCAAACAUAUUUUGUUACAAAAUAGAAACCUCUAAAGCAGACAUGGCAGCAAAAAGAUUGAAAUUAUCUCCAUUUAUGAGUUCACCUUCUUGAAGAUCUGCAAACAGAACGACUCAUGAAACUAAAACAAGUGGGGAAUACAAGCAAAAUAGGCAAUUGCGAUCAGUACCAGAGCAGGCGGCGGAGAGGAGAGGUGAUACAUCGGCCCAGACGGAGUUAUUAUCACCGGAAGGGAUAGAAGAAGAGGUUUUAGAGUCGUGAUGAAUCGGAGAAGACGAAUCUUCAUCUUCCCUAACUGAUUGCAUCGUUUGUUGUUGUUGUUGCUCAGGAAACUUGAAAAUCGCUUUAAUCUCUCGUAAUUGGUUUUUUUUGCUACUUAUGGUAUAAGUUUCGUCUUGCUCGAUGGAACACUUUGCCUGGGCUGUUUAGGGUAAUUUUCGGGUCGGAUCCUCAGCGGAUACCCAACCCCCAAUCACCCGAGCCUCCUGCCGUCUUUUUUUUAUAAAUCAACCUUUAAAACCAACAAAAAGAUUUUCAAAAUUUUAAAUCUAUAGUUUUAUGGGUGAAUUUGCGGUAUAAUCAAAAUCUAAUGUAAAAUAAAAAAUAUAAAAUCUUAUUGAAAAAUAUUAAGAAAGUAAUUAGAUUAGUGAAAAGAUAAAAUUGUAUAGUGAAAGACACGCACAAUAAAAAAAAAGAAGAGGUUUUGAAUGUUUUGUAGAUUUUGUAAGAGUUUUUGGUUUUUGUUUUUUAAAAACUUAUUUUUAUACCAAUUAAGAUUUUAAAAUUUUGGUUUCCCUACAAUUUAGUAAAUUUAUUUUAUUGUAGUUUUCCAUUCAUGAUUUUAGUUUUUUAGUUUUCCUAAAAUUUAGGAAAUCUAGUUUUUAUUCAAUCAACGUUAUUUUUCUCAAAAACCAAAAACCGAUUUUUUGGGGUUUUUAAAACAAAAAUAUAAUAACAAAAAUCUAAAACUAAAAUCUAAAAUCUAUAAACUAAAAUCUAAACUCAAAAACUGAAUCAAAAAUCAGCAUCCAUUCAGAGCUAGAGUAUAUGAUGAUAUAUGUAAAAAAGUAGAGAGAAUAAUAAAGAGGAAUUGCAAAACUAACACAUUUUUACUAAAAUAUUAAGAAUAUAACAUUAUAUAUGUAUCAGUUAACUAACUAACCUAAAUGGUAGAUUAAAUGAUCAUAGGUGGUGGUUUGGAUCCGGCGACGGCGGUGGCUCCGGCGGCGGCGGUGGCUCCGGCGACGGCAGUGGCUCCGGCGACGGCGGUGGCUCCGGCGACGGCGGUGGCUCCAGGGACAGCGAUGGCUCCGGUGACAGUUCUGGUGGUGGCUCCGGCGAUAGCGGUGGCUUCGGCGAUAAUUCCGACAAUAACAGUGUCUCCAGCGAUAGUUCCGGCGGUGGUUCCAGGGACGGUGGAGGCUCCGGUGACAAUGGGAACACCGACGAUGGGGUGGUUGCUCUGGUGAUGUCAUUCGUUCUCGUAACGGGGGUAGCUCCGACGGCGACGGUGGUGUUGAUGACGGUGGCUGUGGCGGCGGUAGUGGGUGUAGUGAUGAUUGUUGUGGUGGUGGUUAAUGGUGAUUAUUGUGAUGGCGAAAUUAUAAUAUAAUAUAUUAUACAGUUAUUAUAGUGUAAAUUUUUUCUAAUAGGCUAGUUUCUUAAUUUGUAAUUUUUUUUAAGUUAUACAUGCAAAUUCCCAAAAUACUAAUGACAUGGCUAAAUUAAUAUCACCCCAAAUAAUUUUGCUUGUUGAUUUAGUCUUAUAAAUUUUGCAAUAAUUUUAUAAGAACAUAGAUUUUUUUGAGUAUAACAUGAUUUAAAUUUUUAAAAUCUAAUACAAAUUAUUUAAAUUAGGGAACAAUGUUUGUCUAAACCACACAAAUAAAAUAGUAUAGAACAAAACGUAGAUAAUUCAAAAGGCCGAGUUAAACCGCUCUAAUAAAAAAAAUACUAUCCCUAUGAGAUACAAUAUUGGCAAUCCAAGUAACUAAGGUAAACUAUAGCGGUGAGCCGGUGACGUUGACGAUGGUAAUAGUGGUGGUGGCAACGAUGAUGGUAGUGGUGGCAGUGGCACUAAAAAUGACAUUGAUGGUGGUAAUAUUAAUUGUUAGUGGUGACAUGAUGAUGGUAGCGGCAAUGACGGUAGUGGCGGUGGGAUGGUAGUGUAGUAAUAAUUGUUACUUGUUAGUAAUGGUAAUUAUAAACUAGUUUUUUAUUUUAUUUUAUUUUAAUAUAAAAAUAUAUAUAGAAGAUGAGAUUACUAGCUAGAGAGAAAGGGAGAAAGAAAAAUCCACAUGUAUUGAUAAAUAAAUAACCAGAGCAAAAUACUAAUAAUUUACAAACUCCCAAAUAUUGUGUUAUAAAUAGGUUUAGUGUUUUCAAUGGGUUGCAAAUAAAAGAGUCAAAUAGGUAGAAGAGACCUUUGGGGAAACUAUAAAAUUUAGCAUUCGUGGUAGAUGAAGAAGGGAGAAUCUAAUGAAAGAAUCAGCAUGAAAUGCAACAGAGGAGGGGAAAAAAGAAGGUGUAUGUAGUGUAGAGGGCAAAGUUAUCAUUAAUACAAAAAAUACAUAAUAUAUCAACCUUUUUUUUGUUUGAUGUUAGUUUUUUAAUUUAUAAUUUUUUGUUGGUUAUUUAUGCAAAUUUCCCUAGUUUUAUUUAAUCACCAUCUUAUUAUAUAAAGUACCAUUUUGAAAGUUACUAACUCACAUAAUGGUGUCACGUGUCAAGUCUAAUAAUCAGAUAUUUACAUAUGUCAUUAAAGAUUUACCUUUUUAUUCUCUUAUAAAAAUAAAAAAACCUAAAAAAGUAAACAAAUUUACAUAUACUAAUUUUUAUAUCUAUAUAUAUGUAUAUAAUAUUUUGAUUAACCAAUAGGAAAAUUAACAAAAAAAAAUUUUGGUAGGGUGAGGGGGACCAACCCUUCAUUUAUUAUAGAAAAAAAAAUAGAAAAUUACAUACGAACAUUAACAAAUUUGCUUUUACAUGUGAUAUUGGUCAAUUAAAUAAAUCUAGCAUGCAUUAACUAAUUAAAAAGACCAUCGAAAUAUUGAUUUUUCCCGCCUAAAAUAUUACAAAAAUAAAUUUCCCGCAAAAAACAUUUCAAAAAAAAAGUCCGCCCAAAGUUUUUUUCCAAAAAUAUUUUUCCUACAAAAACCUUUUUGGCGGGAAAAAGAUUUACAAUGGGUUUUAAAAGAUUUUUAAAGGCUUUACAAGAGUUUUAAAUGAUUUACAAGUGUUUUUGAAAGAUUUUUAUAUGGUUAACAAGGGUUUUAAAGGAUUUUAAAAAAGAUUUAAAACCCUUUAAAAACUUUUGUAAAUCUUUUUAAAAUAUUUUGUAAGGGUUCAAAAGAUUUUUAAAAUGGUUCAAAAUUAUGAAAGGGUUUACAAGGGUUUUUGAAAAGAUUUUUAAAUGGUUUACAAGGGUUUUAAAGGAUUUACAAGGUGUUUUAAAAGAUUUUUAAAAGAUUUACAAGGGUUUUAAAAUCCGUUAAAAACACUUGUAAAUCUUUUUAAACCCUUUUAUAAGGGUUCAUAAGAGUUUUAAAAUGGUUCAGAAAGAGUUACAAAUGUUUUAAAAUAAUUACAAAUUAUUUUAAAUCUUUAACAAAAUGAUUUAAAGACUUUAUAAGAGGUUUAAAAAGAUUUUAAAAAGAUUUACAAAGGUUUUAAAAAUCCUUGUAAAUUGUUUGAAAACCAUUGUAAAAGGUUUUAAAAUGAUUUAAAAAAGGGUUUAAAAGGGGUUUAAAAGUAUUAACAUAUGUAUUUAAAGACUUUAUAAAGAUUUUAAUAGGUUUAAAAAUGAUUCACAAGAGUUUUUUUAACAACUUUACAGAGCUUUUUAAAAACUUUACAAGGUUUUCUUAAGAGUUUUUAAAGGGUUCUUAAAAAUUUUACAAGGAUUUUUAAAUUCUUUUUUUUGUAGGGAAACAAUUUUGAGGAGAAUAUUUUUUUUGGCAAGGAAAAAGUUUACAAGGAUUUUUGACGAGAAUAUCUUUUUGGCGGGGAAAAUAAAUUUUGGUGCAAAACAUUUUUGGCGGAAAAAUUUCAGUUUCUAAUUAUAUGUUCUUACUAGAUUUUAACCCGCGGUGUACCGCGGGACUAUUUAUUUUAUUAAAAAUAACUAAAAAUAUAUUAUUUUAUAAAUUAUCUGUAUGUAACAUAUUGUUUGUAUUUUAUAAAUAUAUAAUCCUAAUUUCUAUAUAUUGUACAAUCCCUUGAUUUUAUCAUGGAGUACACCGUAAGUCGAUUUUUAAAAUUUAAAAUUUAAAAUUAUAUAUGAUUUUUGUUAAGAUUGUUUCUUUUGUCAUAUAUUUUAAAUUAUAUCAUUGUAUUUUAAUUGUUAGUUAUAGGAUUUCACCCGUUGUAUAACGUGUCGUAUUACUAUAAACUCAAACCCGUCUUACCAUCUAAUUCCGUUCAAUGAAAUUAAACAUAUUUAAUGGAUUUCAUCCUAGGUAUAUUGUCUCAUAUUACUAUCGACCCAAACCCGUCCUACCAACUAACCCCGUUCAAUAAAAUGAAAUAUUAUUUUAUUAUUUUUGUUUUAAUAAUACUUUAAUUUGAAAUAUAUAUAAUUCAAAUCAAUUUCAAACUUUUUAUUUUAAAUGGUUAUUUAAUUGUUAUAAUUUAUAAAGUUCAUAUAUUUUAAUAUUCUAAACUCGUCAUACCAUCUAAUCCCGUUCGGUGAAAUUAAACAUUAUUUUUUAAUUUUUUUGCUUAAAUAAUAUUUUUAUUAACAGAUUUAUAAUUCAAAUAAAUUUAAAAGGUGUCGUUCAAAUAGUUAUUUGAUUUUUUAUAGAUUUCACAUCUAAAAUAUUUCUCUAUAUGUAACAUAUAGUUUUGUAUUUUAGAAAUAUUAUAAACGUUUUUUCCUUAAAUAUUAUAAACGUUUUAAAAACUUUAAAUAAUUACAAUAUUUACCUUUUAAUAAAGUAUAAUAUUAAUAAUCAUUUAAAUAAUUAUGUGUAGCUAAUUUUAAGGGAUUUGAUUUAAAGCUUGUUGUUUGGAUUAAAUUUGAAUGAAUAAUGUGAUUGAUAUAUUAAAUCAAGAAUUAAAAAUCAAAUCAAAUAAUUAAGGAAAAAAGAAUUAAUGCCAAUGGCAUGCCAUUGUAAAUAAGUGUCAAGUAGAGGAUUUAUUUGCUAAAAUAUAAUUUUAGUUUUUUAAAAAUUAACUGAAAAUAUAUUAUAUUAAUUUGUAUUUUUAAAUAUAGAUAUCAAUCUCUGUAUUAUUUAGUAUAUGAUUACUAUUAUUUAGGUUUCAAUUUUUGAAGUAUAGAUACGAAAAUACAUAUUUUUUUAAGUAACGAUGUAUGGUGAAUUUUAAAUUUUUAAUAUUUUAUCCAUAAUAUACCGUGGGUCGAUUUUUUAUAGCUAAAUUUUUAAAUUUCAAGUUAUAAUCGUUUUGUUAAUAUUGUAUGAUUUUUUGUGUUUAAGGUUGUAUAAUUGUAUUUUAAUUGUAAAUUUUAAGAUUUCAUCAAUGAUAUACCUUUCUUUAUUAAUAUCGAUCAAAACCCGUCAUCCAAUAUAAACCCGUCUAUAUUAUCUCGUUAGCUAAAUAUUAGUAUUAUAAAAUCCAAGAAAAUAAAUUAUUAUUGUUAGAAAUACAAUAAUUUUAGGAUCUCACCCGUGUUAUACUGUUUUUGAAUGAUUUUAAAUUUCUACUACUAAUAUAGAUUUUAAAUUUGUCAUAUAAAGUAUAUGAUUUUAACUUUUUGUAUUUUUUUAUUUAAAUAAAGCAACGGCUUAAAUGAUGAUAGAUAUAGUUCUUUUUUUGUAUGUGUAUAUGAUUUUUAUGUGAAUAUUUUCAUUAUUAUAAAUUAGUAUUUUUAUUGUUAUGCAAAAUGUUAAUAUAAAUAUUUUCUAUAAAUCGGAUUUAUGCAUAUUUUAUGGAGUAAAAUUCACAGAAUUUUGUUUUUGAAGAUAUAUGGAAAGAUUGUGUAGAGAUUUUUAGAAAUAAAUUAGGCAAGAUAUCGUUUGGUUAAUAUCUUUUAAAAUUUUGUAAAACUAAAUAAUAAAUGCUAGUGACAGCCGUUGUAAAUAAGUCUGAACUCCAGGAUUUAUUUCACAAAAUGGUUGCAAAAAUGUAUAUGUAGAUUAGAUGAGGAUAAUUUGUUCAUUUUGUUCAAAAAAAAAAGGGAGAUUUGCAAAACUACCAUUUUUUACUACCCUUUUGCAACAAUACCCUUUUAUAUUGUUCAUUUUUAAAAAUAUCCCUUCUCUUGAACAGAAUGACCAAAUUACCCUCAUCUAAUAAGAACAUGUAAUUGGAAACUGAAAAUUUCCCGCCAAUAUUUAUUUUUCCCGCCAAAAAAAAAUUUCCGCCAAACUUUAUUUCCCGCCAAAAUUUUUUCUCGUAAAAUUUUUUUCCCAGCCAAAAUAAUGCUUUUAAAAAUCCUUAUAAAUUUUCUUAAAACUCUUUUAAAAAACCUUGUAAAGUUUUUUAAAAGCUUUGGUAGUUGCUAAAAACCCUUGUAAAUCAUUUUAAAACCUCUUAAAAUCUUUAUAAAGUCUUUAAAAACAUAGGUAAAUACUUUAAAACACCUUUUUAAACCUUUGUAAAUCAUUUCAAAAUUUCCACAAUAGUUUUACAAGAUUUACAAUCAUUUUUUAGCAUAAGUAAGUGGCAUUGAAUGAUUUACAAGGGAUUUUAAAAGCUUAUAAAAGGGUAAAACAUGAUUUACAAUCGUUUUUAAAGCAUAAGUAAGUGGCAUAUAAUGAUUUACAAGGAUUUUUAAAAAGGGUUAGCAUGGUUUACAAUAUUUUUUUAAGCAUAAGUAAGUGGCAUUGGAAUUAUUUACAAGGGAUUUUAAAAGCUUAUAAAAGGGUAAAACAUGAUUUACAAUCGUUUUUAAAGCAUAACUAAGUGGCAUAGAAUGAUUUACAAGGAAUUUUAAAAGUGUUUGUAUGGUUUACAAUCGUUUUAAAGCAUAAGUAAAUGGCAUUGAUUGAUUUACAAGAGAUUUUAAAAGGGGUUAACAUGAUUUACAAUCGUUUUAAAGCAUAAAUAAGUGUCAAAGAAUGAUUUACAAGGGAUUUUAAAAAAGGUUUGCAUGGUUUACAAUCGUUUUUAAAGGAUAAGUAAGUGUUAUAGAAUGAUUUACAAGGAUUUUAAAAGCUUAUAAAAGGGUAAAACAUAAUUUACAAGAGUUUUUUUAAAGAGUUUUAAAAGGAUUUACAAGGAUUUUAAACCUUUGUAAAUCCUUUUAAAACUCUUAUAAAGUCUUUACAAGUAUUUUUUAACUCUUAGAAAAAGAAUUGUAAGUAUUUAAAACAUUUACAACUCUUUUAAACCAUUUUAAAACUCUUGUGAAUCUUUACAAAAGGUUUUAAAAAGACUAGAUGAAUUCCUACGCUAUGCGAGGGUUUGUUUUGAAAAUUGUUUAGAUAAAAAUAUGUUAAUUAUUUUUGUUGCUAAUUUCUGUUUAUUUUUUGUUUGUUAUUUUAUAAUUAGUAAAAUUAGACUCAUCUUAUGUACUUGCAUUUUUUAUUGUUAGGUUCAUUUUUGACUCUAAAAUAUCAAUUUCUAUAUGUUUUCAUGUAUAAUCUGAUUAUUUUUAUAACCAAGAUUCUAAAAUUUGUUUAUUAUCAUGAAUAUACACAACAAGAAUAAAAGAUGUUUUUAUUUCAAGAGUUUUCAUAUGAAAAAAAAGAAGCAAAAAUUAAAGAGUUAUUUUAGUAACACUUUUUAGAUUUAUGCUAUUGCAUAUAGCCAUAUAAGACAAAUGGAUUUGUUUUGAAUUUCGUGGUAUGUCUAACGUCUCAAAAAUCUAUUACUUGAAAAUGUUUAAUGUCAAUGUUACGAACUUACCAUAAGAUACAAAAAUAAAAAGACAGAAUUUCAUAUGAUAAGAUAUGAACCAUAACGUAAUAAUAAUAAAAAAAUCAAGGUAAAAUAAUUAAACUAAUAUUAGGUAGCAAACAACUAAAGUACAACACAAAUAACUAUUUAGUCAUUAUAGAGUGAUGACCAUUGACCAUUAAGUUUUUUUAAAAAUAUGAAAUAAUAAAGUAAAAUAAAAGUAGUAAUUGAUUUAUUUAAAUAAAUAAUUUUAUAAAUUUUUUAUUUUGAAUAAAAUUAUUUAAGAAAUGAACUAAUGGAGGAUUUAACACAAUAUGAGACUUUUGAUUUUCUCUCAAUUAAUUUUGCUGAUUUUUAAUUUAAUCAAUGUUAAUUGACACAUGUCAUUUUCUUGUGUGAUGAUGUGUCACCCAUAUGGAGAAAGUUGGCCAACUUUCAUAUAUAUGAUUUACAAGAGUUUUUAAACGGUUUCUUAUAAUUUCUUUUAAAAUCUUUUAAAAACUCUUGUACAUCUUUUAAAACCCUUUAAAAAUCCCUUGUAAAUCUUUUAAAACACUUUUAAAUCCUUUAAAAAUCUUUAAAAAACUCUUGUAAGUCUUUUAAAGCCCUUUAAAAUCCCUUGUAAAUCUUUUAAAACCCUUUUAAAAUCCCUUGUAAAUCUUUUAAACCCUUUUAAAAUCUUUUGUAAAUCUUUUAAAACCCUUUUAAAAUCCCUUGUAAAUAUAUUUCCCGCCAAAAAACAAUUGUUUACGGGAAAAAUGUUUUCGAAAUUUUUUUUUGGCGGGAAAAUUUUGGCGGGAAAUUUUAUUUUGGAAUAUUUUAGGCAAAAAAUAUUAAUAUUUCAUUUUGUUAACCUAAAUCAAUUUACAAAUAGGAAUAAAAGGGUCAUUAAAAAUUUAAAUAGGGUAUAAAUGAAAAUGGUAAAUAGAAAAGGGUAGAAUUGAAAAGGGGUAGUGUGAAAAGGGCAUUAGAAAGAAUUUUUCAUUUUUAAUUAUACUUUCUUCUAAUUUUUAGUGAUCAUUUUAACCCUAUUUGAAAAUGUUUUAGGUUAACAAAAUGAAAUAUUGAUUUUUUCCACCAAAACGGCUUUUUGCCUAAAGAAACUUUCACGCCAAAAAAUUUCCCGCCAAAUUGGUUUUUUCAAAAACAAUUUUCCCCAUAUAACAAAAAAAAUGGCGGAAAAUAUAUUUUUAAAACCUUUGUAAUUCUUUUUAAAACUCUUGUAAAACUUUUUGAAACCUUUUGUAAGGGUUCACAAGAGUUUUAAAAUAUUUCAAAUUUUUUUACAAAUGUUUUAAAAUAUUAAAACAAAACUUUUUAAGAGUUGAAAAAUGAUUUAAUAAUAAGAAUUUUAAAAGGCCUUACAAAAGUUUCUAAAAUCCUUGUAAAUCGGUUUAAAACUAUUUGAAAACUUUUGUAAAUAAUUUUAAAACCUUUUACAAUGGUUUUAAAAGAAUUAUAAGUAUCUUUAAAUAUUUAUUAAGGUUUUGAAGUAUUUACAUGUGUAUUUAAAGACUUUAUAAAGAUUUUAAAAGAUUUCAAAAUGAUUUACAAGUGUUUUUAAGAACCGUACAAAGCUUUUAAAAAACUUUACAAGGAAUUUUAAGAGUUUUUAAAGGAUGUACAAGAGUUUUCAAAAAAUAUUUUGCGGGAAAAAAACAAUUUGGUGGGAAAACUAAAUUUUGGAGCCAAAACUUUAUUUGGCGAGUAAACUAAAUUUUGGCGGACAAAUUUCAGUUUCUUAUUAAAUAUUCUAAUUAAAUGGAGGGUAAUUUGGUUAUUUUGUUCAUGAAAAAGGAUAUUUUAAAAAAUAGACAAUGGUAAAGGGUAUUUUUGCAAAAGAGCAUUGGAAAAGAGUAUUUUUACAAAUCUUCCAAAUACAUUUGGGUAUAUUUGGUACCUACCUAUUUAUUAAAUUUUAUUCAUUAAAGCUUUGAUGGAUUUUGAAACCUCUUACAUUGGAUAGUUCCAUAUUUAACAAUAUAGACUAGGUCAGUACUCGUGUUUCGCAAGGGGUUCAUGAUUUAAUUAGUUUAUAAAUUUUGUUUCUGUAUAUAUUACUAAUAUAGUUUUAUUUUUAUUCAAAAUAGAUUUUUAGAUUAUCAAUUCCCAAAACACUAUCCUGUCGUUGUAGUAUUUUAGGUUGUCAAUCCAAUCUGCUGGUGUGAUGCAAACAGAUAAGAUAUUAUUAGAAUGCACUAAGUCAAACCAAGCAGAGAGUUUUUGGUUUCUAACAGUCCUCAUAUGAAAUAAAAGAACUGAAAUAAAACUGAAAUGCAAAAUGGCAGUAACAUGCAAAUGAAUGACAAAGCAGAUAAGAUAACAGGCAAUCAAAUGGAUAAGAGAUUCCUAAGGAUGGAGUAAUCGAAUAGCGUGGUCUCCUUAAUCUAUUUAGACGGUUGACAAAACUUCACAGAAGAUAUCUCUAGAAAACAAGUUCAAUGAAAGAUUAAUUCACUACCGUGUAAGAAAUCCUAAAGUGACGUUAUCUCCAUUAGCGAUCUCUAACUAAGCAGACAAUAUCGAAUCAACUUGUUAAAGCCAAUACCCGUUCUAAACGGCCAAUACCUUGGGAUAGAGACGAAUAUCACUGGAAUUAAUAGAUCCGACAUUCCAUCGAACGCCUUCUGAGCGCGGGAAUGUCUGGAUUCAUAUUCCAGUUGAUCAUAAAGGAACAAGCAAUAAGCGCAACUAAUCUAGAAGGGAUUCCAAUAUUCUAAACUCAACCAUCUAGACGACUAAGGUUACCACAACUACUCUAUCCCAUCCUCAGAAAUACAAUUCACUACUCAGACAUAAGCAAAGACAAUAUCAUAGAAACGAAUGAAAACAUGAUAAGGGAUCGAGAAAUGACAAAAGAUAAACGAAAUGAUACUAAGACUGAAAUAUUUAAUACUUGAAAGUGAAUACAAAAUCGCAGGAGAGCGUUGCGGCUACAAAAGUUUUAGAAAAAAGGAUCAUGCCCUAGGGAAAACCCCUAGAGGCUAUUUAUAAAAGCAAGACAAGUUAAGUAAGGAAAGUCUUUGAUAGUAGUCUUCACAUCGGGAGAUUGCGAUUGGGCAUAUGAUGGGCUGAAAUGGGACUCACUGCGAUGGAGUAUGUCAUGGAUCAAACUUGGCUUCAGGGACUCCACCUUGCAAUCGUGUGGUCUGGAGUGAAGACGAGAUAAAAUUGUCCAGCGACCCUGCGAUCGAGUAGAUGUCAUGAGGUGGUGAUCGAGUGGUUUCUUCAGCUUCUCUUCUCUUCCGUAUGCUCAGUGUUGGUGUCGGAUCCCGCACCAAAAGUCCGAAGUCGUCUCAGCCUGUAAUAAGCCCAAUCGCUGACUUAAUAAUGAUUUUACAAAUAUUUUUAAAAGGGGUUUAAAACGUUAAUAAUGAUUUUACAAGGAUUUUUAAAAGGAUUAGUACCUGAGCAGUAGGAAAAGAAUGAGAAACAAAAGGAUUUGAAGUCGUCUCAACCUAUAAUUAACACAAUCACUGACUUACUAAAUCUAUAUAUAAACCAUUUUUAAAAUUAUAACACAAGAAAGUUAUUGAAAAACCUACUCCACUGUCACAGAAAUUUGCUCUACUCUGUGAGAAUUUGUGCAUAAAAGUUGCAAGUUGUCUAUCGUUUCUAAUAUAAAGAGGAUGAGAUUGUAUUGUUCUAGAAGUGGAGACUUGCUUAUAACUAAGCUUCAAAGAAUUGGUUGAACUAUCUAUUCGAAAAUUCUCUACAAGAAUAUCAACCAAUGCGUGAUAGGUAAUGUGCUCAUCAAUGAGCACUAAAGAAGCUCCCAUUUCAAUGUCUAAUUCAAAUUCCCAAGUCAUAUUGUUUGUCAACUUCCACAAACCACAAACAGAAUACUAUUCUAUCAUUAUAACCUGAUAAGAUAAAUAACAACAAAAUCAAUACCCACAAACAUUGUCACUACAGAGAGAAGCAUGGUUUACAAUUAUUUUUAAAGCAUAAGUAAGUGGCAUAUAAUGAUUUACAAGGAAUUUUAAAAGCUUUGAAAAUGGGUUAACAUGAUUUACAAUCAUUUUUAAAGCAUAAGUAAGUGGCAUAGAAUGAUUUACAAGGAAUUUUAAAAGCUUUGAAAAGGGGUUAACAUGGUUUACAAUCGUUUUUAAAGCAUAAGUAAGUGGCAUAUAAUGAUUUACAAGGAAUUUUAAAAGCUUUGAAAAGUGGUUAACAUGGUUUACAAUCGUUUUAAAGCAUAAGUAAAUGGCAUAGACCUAUCACGAAAGCGUAAGUAAAGGGGUAAACACUAAAUCAAAACCAAAAUUUAUCACGGAACAAUAUAACGAAUUCAAAUCUAUCACAAAACAGUAUAACGAAUUCAAAAGGAAUUAACGAAUUCACAUAAUCAACCCCAAAAUCGAAAGCAAAAUAGUAGAAUUUACAAGGAUUUUAAAAACAAUUCAAUCAUUAAAUCUCAAACAAAAUUCAAAUUCGAAGCAUCAACAAAUGUCAAAUUGUCGAUUGAAUCAAUAUCACGAAUCACAUAAGCAACAACAAAAUCGAAAACGAGACAUUUAGGCUAAAAUUACAAAUUCGAAAUCGAUUCCAUGAGAGAAAAACAA
RNAcentral lists this long non-coding RNA (48361 nucleotides) under Arabidopsis thaliana (thale cress). Its description in RNAcentral is "long non-coding RNA (ATHA_LNC000689)". The record is from RNAcentral. Lineage: Eukaryota; Viridiplantae; Streptophyta; Magnoliopsida; Brassicales; Brassicaceae.